Molecule: long non-coding RNA, 47771 nt
Filed under: Phaseolus vulgaris (common bean)
Lineage: Eukaryota; Viridiplantae; Streptophyta; Magnoliopsida; Fabales; Fabaceae
Description: long non-coding RNA (PVUL_LNC004242)
Source: RNAcentral
AGAUGAUUGGAACGCUCUUGAGUUUGAAUCUGAAAGGUUUGAAUCAGUUGGUGAUGGUGGAUACAAUGUUGCACAGUGCAUGAGGGCUGUGGCAGAACCUAUGCUGGUUAGUCACUUUGGUGAAGACAUCAUUGAAGAGGUUUUCACCCGCUACCAACAAAUCUUGGCUGAUCGUAUGGCCAAGGAGAAAACUAAGUUCUUCAAUGUUACCAUACUUUUGACUAGAAAAACAUGAACAACAACUUUGCGUCUAAGGAGAAAAUUGAGUUCAUCAAUAUCACUGUAUCAUUGACUAGAAAAGAAUAAGCAAGAAGUUUGUAUCUGUGUGUAUGGUUUGCUGGUUUGGUUUUUUGGCAAUUAUGUAUAACUAGCAAAAAUAUUAAGUUGGAAUAGAAUAAAAUUAUUGUGUUUGUUAAGCCAUUUUUUUUAUAUUUAUAUUUUAUUAUGAAAUAAUUUUUUUGGCAAUUUAAUAGUAAAAAAUAAAAUUUUAUACCAUCCACUACAAGAAAAAUAUGAAAUAGAAACCAAUUUAGAGACAAAAAAUAAUUAGUUGCUAUAGUAACUAAAUUAGAAACCAUUUUAGAAACAAAAAAAAUGAUUUCUAAAUUAGUUUAUAUUAUUGCUAAAUAGUUUCUAAAUUGGUAUCUAAUUAACAACCAAGGUUUUAACUACCAAUUAUUUAGUUUCUAAAUUUGGUAGAAAAACCUUGGUUGCUAAUUAGAAACCAUUUAACAAUAAUAGAAACUAAUUUAGAAACCAAAUUGUUUUGAGUUUCUAAAAUGAUUUCUAAUUUAGUCACUAUAACAAAUAAUUAUUUUUUGUCUCUAAAAAUUAGUUUUCAUUUUAUGAUUUUCUUGUAAUGAUUUUUUUUUUGAAUAAAAUAAAUAAUAUUUUUUUUAGAUGUGAACUGAAUGUAAUAAAUUUUAAGGUAUAUUUUUUUAAGUAGGGGUUGCACUAACACAAGUCUCCUAUGAUACAAAUUAUUGUAGGUUCUGUCACUUGGACAAAUCUUAGAACAACACCCCUUCUAUGUCCAAUGAAAGUCAUUGCUCUAGGCCAUAGGCCUUUCAGAUCACCCAUUGACCCCGUGCAGAUAAGUAACAAAUUUUAAGGUAUUAUUGUCAUUCAUUAUGUUAUAAAAUGAUUUGCUUAAGGUUGUAUAAUGAUUAAUGGUAAAUAUUUAAAGUGUUGGAGAUCAUCGACUAUGGAGUAGGACAUUUAAUAGUAUAUUAAGAAGUAAAUUUUAAGCUUAACCUAAUCUUAUAAAACCGGCUUAUAAGGUUAAGUUUGCACUUACUUAUAUAAUAUGAAAUAUCAUACAUUUUAAUCGACGUGGGAUCUUUAACAUACCCUCUUACGUCGAGAUUGUCAAUUUGUGCGUUAGACUAUAAAUUUAUGGUGGUCUGAUAGCAGCCCAAUAGCGGGUGGUCUGAUAAGUUUAACAAAUUCUCACUAGAAUAUAAUAAGCGAACUUUAAGUCUAAAUCAACCUUAUGAAACCAACUUAUAAGGUGAGUUUUACAUUCAUUUAUAUGUCCUACUCUUUAGUUAAUAUAGGACAAACAACCUAACAUAUUAAUUAGAAAGUUAAAAUAAUAAAAAAAUUCUUUAUAAUUCCUAUAAGAAAAUGUAAAUUUGAAAAAAAGAUCAUAGGUAGUGACAAUCUUGUUCCAUCACCCAUGAUGAUCUGAUAUGUAGGAUUUCUUCAUAGAGAAUCAUUUCAUUGGUAUAAUAGGUUUCCAUCUAGUAUGUUUGUAGAAUUAUUUAUGAAUAAGUAUAAUCUACCUUUGUGUCGUUUUUGUUAAAAUACGAGUUUUGGUCUAAUCUCUACAUAUUUUUGUAUUUUCUUUAUUUUUUCUUUUUUUAAUGUGAUGACAGAUGAUUGUUGUAACUUGUGUCAGCCUAACUGAGAUGUAAAGUUCAUAAAGAUACUUAACAUGGAAGUUUUUAUAAAAAAAAAAAAAUAGGCUUCCUUUGCAACUUUUAUGAGUUUUCUGAUUUCUCAUAUUUUGAAAAAAUAAAAUAAAAUUCUUGCAAUGGUAUGAUCAAUUUAAAAGUCAUUUUUUUAUAUAGGUUAUAUUACUUUAGACAUCUCAUAUAGUUAAACUAAAGUUCCACAAUCUAAUUAUUAUUAUUAUUAUUAUUUUUAUAUUAUUAUUACUUUUUAUUAUACAAAAUAUAUUUUAUUUACUCCUAACAAAUUUAUUCAAUUAUGUUUGUGCUCAUUGACUUUUUUUAUUGGGCAAAAAGCUUAAACAUAUAUAAUGGAUUGAGUUUUCAUUAUAAUAAUAUACUUGGAACCAGAGUAUAUUCCGCAUUCACUUCACGAGAGUAGUCCGUUCUUCUUAUUAUUAUUGCACUGAAAUAUUAAUUUUUAUUAAAUUAAUUAUUUAAAAAUGUUAGGAUAAGAUAAUAAACUGAACUGACUUAGUAAGAACAUGCAUACAUUCAUAAUAUUAGUAAAAGAAAGGUGGUGGAUAAUUCACAAUCAAAUGAAAAAACCUAAUUAUUUUUUAAUUAAAUCAUACAUUUAUACUACAAUUUUUAUCACUGUGUAUAUUUCUUGUUUUAAUAUUAAUCCAUCUUAAUAUUAUUGGAAAGUGUGUGAAACUUGUCCAAACAAGAUACAAAGACUUAGAAUUAUUUUUCAUGGUAUUAUACACAUGUGUAACAUUAUUAUUUCUCAAUUUCAGGAAUCAUGUUCUUCAAUCAACCAUGCAUAUUCAUAUUAAAAUAUUGAGAGUGACGCUUAUCAAUUAAACAUGUUAGAUAAUUUCUUAAAAAAUAAUCACAGUGAAGAUGCUCUUAUUAAAAAAUUAACACAUGAACAAUAAAUAUUUUAUUGAUAUAUGCCCCAUUUUGUUGAGUAAAUUGUAGAAACUUUACAAUAUUAUUUUCAUAUUCCUCACUUAUUUGACUUCAAUUUAACUUAUUUGAUUUCAAUUUAUUUAACUUCAAUUUAUUGUGUAAUAUUAUUCUCUUCUAAAAUUGUACGCAUCAUUAAAAAAAUAUUAAAUAAAAAUUAAUUUUAGUGACAAAAAAUCAUUAAUUACUAUGUUGACUGUAAGAGGAAGAAGAUGAGUAAAGGUGAACUGUAAAAAGUGAAUAUUAUUCAGUAAAAGUCUUAUUACAUAGGGUUGAACCCUUUAGUUAUAUAUGGGAAGGGCCUAUGUAAAUAACCCACUACAACAGAAACUCACUGCUAAGUAACAGCACUCCCAGUAUUAUAUCUAACACCCCCCAUAAACUUAUGGGUGAGUUAUCAACCACCCUAAGUUUAUCUUUGAAUUUCUGAAACAUUGUUCCUGAUAAAGGUUUAGUUAGAACAUCGGCGAUUUGAAAUUGAGACGGGAGAUGAACAACCAACAACUGCUUAUGCUGAACACGGUCACGGACGAAAUGUAGGUCAAGCUCGAAAUGUUUAGAACGGGAAUGCAGAACAGGAUUGACAGCAAUAUGAACAACACCUAGAUUAUCAGAAUGGAUUAUUGGAGUGGAAGAAGGGAUGCGCAGUUCUGUCAGUAGAGACUGGAUCUAGGUAAUAUCAGCAAGGGCAGCAACAAUGCUUCUAUACUCAGCCUCAGUACUGCUUCUGGAGACAACUUUUUGUUUCUUUGAAGACCAAGACACAAGAUUGCGACCCACAAAUAUGCAAUAGCCAGUGGUAGACUUGCGAUCAUCCAAGUCUGUGGCCCAGUCGGAAUCACUGAAACCAGUGAUAGAAUAGUUUGGUGAAGGGGUUAAGAGAAGACCGUGAGUUGAUGUGCCAGCCAAGUAUCGCAGAAUACGUUUCACAACUUUCCAAUGAUGAAUUUGAGGCUUAUGCAUAUACUGGCAAACACGGUUAACCGAGAAGGAGAUUUCAGGUCUGGUAACAGUCGCAUAUUGCAAGGCACCAACAAUAGACCGAUAUAGAGUUGGAUCAUCAACAGAAGCAGAUUCAUCAGCAGUGAGCCGUAAAGAAGAGAGCAUUGGGGAGGGUUGGGGCUUUGAGUUGACCAUGUUGGUUCGACGUAGGAGAUCGUUUAUAUACUUUGCUUGAGAUAGAUGAAUAAAGUUGUUUUUGAGCCAAGAAACUUCGAUUCCCAAGAAGUAAUGCAGCGAUCCAAGAUCCUUCAAGGCAAAGGAUAAGCCUAACUGUUUGAUGAAUUCCUGCACUAAGACCAAAGAACUGCCAGUAACUAAGAUAUCAUCAACAUAAAUUAAAAUAAAGAUAGUGUGAGAUUGAGUAAACCGUGUGAAGAGAGAGGUGUCACUCUUAGCAGCAACGAAGCCUAGACGAAAAGAGUUGCGAAGAGCUUGUCAAACCAGGCACGAGGUGCCUGUUUGAGACCGUAUAUGGCUUUAUUCAGUCGACAAACAAGAGUAGAAUCAGUGGAGAAUCCAGGUGGUUGUUGCAUGUAGACAGGAGAUGAUAAGUCACCAUGGAGAAAGGCAUUGUUGAUAUCAAUUUGAUGAAUUGGCCACCGUGAAGUUAGUGCAAUAGUCAGGACAAUUCAAAUAGUGGUUGGCUUGAUGACAGGGCUAAAAGUAUCAGUAAAAUCACAAACUUCAGAUUGUUGAAAGCCUUUGGCUACAAGCCGAGCUUUGUAGCGUUGAAGAGACCCAUCAGAGUUGUAUUUCUGUUUGAAAACCCACUUACAACCAACUAAAUUAGCACCAGCAGGCAAAGAAGUAAGAGUCCAGGUGUUAUUUUGAACAAGAGCAUGAUAUUCAGAUUGCAUUGCACGAAGCCAUUGGGGAUGUUUCAUAGCUUGUUUGUAGGUGGACGGCUGAAAAGAGUCAUUAGUCACAACAGUAUGGAGAAUUUUGGGUUUAGAUAUACCUGCCUUAGCACGAGUUACCAUGGGAUGAAGAUUGUUAACUGGAAUAGGAGAAGUAGUCUGACAAUGAUUAUUAGUAGUAGAUAUAGGUGAUGACUGAGUGGGUGUAGGUGUAGGAGAGGAACAAUUAGGAAAAGAAACCACAGUUAUAGGUGAAGAAGAAAAGGAAGAAGCAGUAGUAUUGCUCUCAUUAUGAAUAACAAAAGGAUUAUCAUGUUGGGAAAAGGGAAACAAAUAUUCAUUGAAAAUCACAUGUCUUGAGAUGAUAGUCUUCCCAGACUGAGUUAGGCAAACAUAUCCUUUGUGUGUACUGUUAUAACCAAGAAAUAAACACAAAGAUGACUUAAAAUCAAACUUAUGUUGAUUAUAAGGCCGCAAAAGAGGAUAACAGGCACACCCAAAAAUACGAAGAAAGGUAUAAUCAGGUUUAGAUGAAAACAACUUUUCAUGAGGACUUAUAUUAUCUAAAACAGGCGUUGGUAAAAGAUUAAUAAUCUGAACAGCGGAGAUAAAAGCCUCACCCCAAAAUUUGAGAGGAAGAGAAGCAGCAGAAAGAAGGGCCAAACUUGUUUCGGCAACAUGUCGAUGUUUGCGUUCGAUAGAUCCAUUUUGUUCAUGAGUAUGUGGACAAGUAAAACGAUGAGAAAUACCAUGAUCAUGCAAGACUUUUGUUAAGGAAAUAAACUCCUUAGCAUUAUCAGUUUGAAGACUUUUGAUGAGAAAACCAAUUUGUUUCUCAGCAAGUAAUUUGAAUAGCAAAAAGACAACAGUAGCUUGAGAUUUUGAAGUUAUAAGGUACAACCAAGUAUACCUAGAAAAAGCAUCAAGAAAAGCAAUGUAAUACAUAGAUCCAUCACGUGCAGUAACAUGGGAGGGACCCCAGAUAUCAACAAAANNNNNNNNNNNNNNNNNNNNNNNNNNNNNNNNNNNNNNNNNNNNNNNNNNNNNNNNNNNNNNNNNNNNNNNNNNNNNNNNNNNNNNNNNNNNNNNNNNNNAAAAGGCAAUUGAUGACUUUUGGCAAUAACACACGAAUCACAAAAGAGAGAAUUUUUAUUACACAAUAUAUUGUUCAUUCGCAUUACACAUUGAACAGUCCUAGAUGAAGCAUGACCAAGUCUUUUAUGCCACAAUUCGUACGGAGUCAUAACAGAGUUGUGAGAACUAAUAUUCACAGAGGGUAGCAAAGAGCGAUGUAAUGAGGGAAAAACAUACAAGCCAUUACGUAUGUUUCCUUGGAGAAGAAUCUCCUUGGUAUCCUGAUUUUUGACAAAGCACUGAUUAGGAUAAAAUUCAAAGAACACAUUAUUAUCACGUGCAAACUUAGAGACACUAAUAAGAUNNNNNNNNNNNNNNNNNNNNNNNNNNNNNNNNNNNNNNNNNNNNNNNNNNNNNNNNNNNNNNNNNNNNNNNNNNNNNNNNNNNNNNNNNNNNNNNNNNNNNNNNNNNNNNNNNNNNNNNNNNNNNNNNNNNNNNNNNNNNNNNNNNNNNNNNNNNNNNNNNNNNNNNNNNNNNNNNNNNNNNNNNNNNNNNNNNNNNNNNNNNNNNNNNNNNNNNNNNNNNNNNNNNNNNNNNNNNNNNNNNNNNNNNNNNNNNNNNNNNNNNNNNNNNNNNNNNNNNNNNNNNNNNNNNNNNNNNNNNNNNNNNNNNNNNNNNNNNNNNNNNNNNNNNNNNNNNNNNNNNNNNNNNNNNNNNNNNNNNNNNNNNNNNNNNNNNNNNNNNNNNNNNNNNNNNNNNNNNNNNNNNNNNNNNNNNNNNNNNNNNNNNNNNNNNNNNNNNNNNNNNNNNNNNNNNNNNNNNNNNNNUUUAUUGAAGGAAUGACGGGCAGAGCCACGGCCGUCACGCAAAUUGGUUCCACGAAACGAAGAUCGUGAAGGGGCCGAAGGGUUCCAUUGAGUGGAUGCAGUAUUAGCUUGAAUGAAAGGACGAUCAAGAGACUUAUGUUUGUCAAACCUCUCUUCUUGAGCCAGGAGCAAAGCUUCAAUGUCCUCAACAGUGUAGGGAUCAAGACGGGACGUGACAGAGGUGAUGAAUGAAUCAUACUCCUCAGGAAGACCAUCCAAGAUGGCUUCAAGAUGAUCUUCUGUGGAAACCUUAGAGCCAACAGCCGCAAGAGAAUCGAUAACCCGCUUGAUGUCAAGAAGAUAAAUGCUGAUAGACCGAUCCCGCUUAGGGGUUUUCAACUGGGUUUUGAGCUUGCGAACAUGCGCACGGGUAUUGGACGCAAAAUAGACAUUCAGCUUGUCCCAAAUUUGAUAGGCCGAUCGUAAACCCACCAUUUUGGUUAACAAAGAACUCGACAUAGAAGCCAACAGCCAAGCAACCAGAAGAUUAUCUUGUUGUUUAUGGAGAAGAAAAAGGGGAUUAGGGUUUUCUUUACCAGAAGAGAGAAAUGGCGAAGGAGUGGAAAACGAUUCCAAAAAUUUGAGUAAAUUGAGGCCUUCAACCUGCGCAAGAACCUGUUGACUCCAAAUCAGGAAGUUGUCAUCAGUGAGUUUCAGGGAGAGAGACGUAGGAAAGGUAUGAAGUUGAGAAGAAGGAGAGGAAGAGGAUGAAGGCGUUUCGUUCUCGGAAGCAGGAGAAGAUGAAGAAGACAUGAUCAGAUUCAAGAAAAAAAGGAACCUGCUCUUGAUACCAUGUAAGAGGAAGAAGAUGAGUAAAGGUGAACUGUAAAAAGUGAAUAUUAUUCAGUAAAAGUCUUAUUACAUAGGGUUGAACCCUUUAGUUAUAUAUGAGAAGGGCCUAUGUAAAUAACCCACUACAACAGAAACUCACUGUUAAGUAAUAGCACUCCCAAUAUUAUAUCUAACAUUGAUUAAAUUAUAUAGUAUUUUAGAAUCACUACAAGAAAAUCAUUAAAUAGAAAUCAAUUUUAGUGACAAAGAAUAAUUAGUUACUAUGAAUAAAUUAAAUACUACUUUAGAGACUAACAAAAUUAUUGGUAUUUAAAGUAGUUUUUAUUAAUAAUAAAAUUUAUAAACUAGUUUCUAAAUUAAUAUCUAAUUAGUUACAUAAGAUUUUAGUUACUAACUUCAAAAUCUAAUGUAGUUGAUAACUAAUUAAAUAUUAAUUUAAAAAUUAGUUUAUAAAAUUUUAUUAAUAAAAGAAAUUGCUUUAGAUACCAACAUUUUUUAAAUAUAUAAAAUAGUAUCUAAUUUAAUUAAUAUAAUAACUAAUUAUUAUUUUUUUAAAAUUAAUUUUUAUUUAAUGAUGUUUUUACCAAGUAUACAUUUUGGUAGUGAUCGUACUCUCAUCUCUAGAAUUUUUUUUUUUUAACUUUUGAGGAUGUUAUCUUCUUGACAACAUUUUUGCACAGUACAUAAUUUACUCUUAAAAAAAUUCUAUUGACUUAGAGGAUUGCUUUUGAUUUGACCAACUAUUUAGCAUACUAUCUCCUAGUUCUUGUUUUUCCUAUGGAAUGUUUGAAACAAUCCUUGGAAGAAGAUAUCAGCUCAAAGACUAUUUAUAGUUUUUUUUUUAUCAGCAAGAAAUAUUUAUUUAUACUCAUUGAACAAUUUCAAUAUUUCUUUUAUGUCCUCAUAACGUCCAAUUUAAACUUAAUAAUUACAUUUAAUGUAUCUAAUGCAACUUUAAAUGUUAUUCUUCUUUAGUUAAGACCGUGUCGUGUCUCUAAGAUUGCUUAAUACUACUAGAAAGAUGAGUUAUUUUGGAAAUUAUAUUAAUGGUAUGAUCAAAUAUAAAAAAUUAAGCUAAAGUUACAGAAUCAUAAUUAUUGUUAUUUUUAAUUAUACAAAAUAUAUUUUAUCUACUCCUAGCAAAGUUAUUCAAUUAUGUUUGGUUAAUGACUUUUUGUGGGCAAAAAUCUUAAACAUAUAUAAUAGUUGAUUUUUCAUUGUAAUAAUAUACUUGAAUCCCAGGGUAUAUUCCACAUUCAAUUCAUGAGAGUAGUCCAUUCUUCUUAUCAAUAAUUGCACUGUUAUAUUAAUUUUUAUUAAAUUAAUUAUUUAAAAAGUAUAGCAUCAUUCUAAUGGUUUUAAAGUUAGGAAGACCACUGAACUGACUUGGUAAGAGCAUGCGUACAUUCAUAAUAUUAGUAAAAGAAGGUGGUGGAUAAUUCACAAUCAAAUGAAAAAACCUAAAUAGUUUUUAAUUAAAUCAUACCUUUAUACUAUAAUUUUUAUCACUCUGUAUAUUUCUUGUUUUAAUAUUAAUCAAUCUUAAUAUUAUUGGACAAGUGUCUGAAACUUGUGCAAGCAAGAUACAAAAACUUAGAAUAAAUUUCAAGGUAUUAUACACAUGUGUCUAAUGAAAACAUUAUUGUUCAAAGAAAUCAUGUUAUUCAAUCAACCAUCCAUAUGCAUAGAGAUUGAGACAUUAUCACUUCACCAUGUUAAGUCACAUUAGACAAUUCCUUAAAAAAUAAUCACAAAGAAGAUGUUAUUAUAUUAUAUCAACUUCUAUUCUCUUAUUAAAAAAAAUAACACAUGGGCAAUAUUUUUUUCAUUAAUAUACAUUACAAAAAAAAACAUUAAAUAAAAAUUAAAUUUAGAAAAUAAUAAUAAUUAGUCACUAUAAUAACUAAAUUAGAUACUAAUUUAGAGACUAAAAAAUUAUUCGUAUCUAAAGUGAUUUUUAUUACUAAUAAAAAUUUAUAAAAUGAUUUAUAAAUUGGUAUCUAAAUUAGCUAUCCAGGUUUUAGCUACUAAUAUUUUAGAUUCUAAAUUAGUUUCUAAAAGACUAAUAGAGACUAAUUUAGAAUAUAAAGUAGUAACACUAAAAAAAAAUCAUUAAAUAUAAAUCAAUUUUAGAGACAAAAAAUCAUUAGUCACUAUAUUAACUAAACUAGAUACUAAUUUAAAGACUACAAAAUUAUUUCUAUCUAAAGUGGUUUCUAUUAUUAAUAAAAAACUAUAAAAUGAUUUCUAGAUUGGUAUCUAUAUUAGCUACCUUGAUUUUAGCUACUAAUAUUUUAGAUUCUAAAUUAGUCUCUAAAAGACUAAUAGAGACUAAUUUAGAAUAUAAAGCAUAUUAGAUACCAAUUUAGAAAUUAUUUUAUAAAUUUUUAUUAAUAAUAGAAACUAGUUUAGAUACCAAUGACUUUUUUUAGUUUAUAAAAUGGUCUCUAAUUUAAUCAAAUAAUAACUAAUUAUUUUAAUCUUUAAAAUUAAUUUCUAUAUAAUGAUUUUCUUGUAGUAAUAUACGUAACAUUUUGUUGAGUAAAUUGUAAAAAAAGUUCAACAUCAUUCUCAUAUAAUCUCACUUAUUUUACUUGAAUUCAUUCAAUUUCUAUCAUUAUAUUAACUAACACAAGAAUUUGGUUUGUGGAUGAAUAUCUCAUUUUAUUAUUUCUUUUUGAAAAGAAAAAAGGUGUGGCUAUAUUCUCUUAGGAAGACUCACUUUUUUUUUAUAUUUGAUUAUAAUGAAAAUUUUAAUAAAAAAAUGUUAUAAUUAACAAAAUUUCAACAACAUUUUGUAUUUGACUUUAAAUAACAGAAAAUGAAAGUAAAACAUAAAAUAAACCAUAAAGUAUAUGUUCAAAGAUCAUUACAAAAUAUAAUCAACUCAAAUUUCAUAAAAUAUAUAUAAAAUAUUGAUUAAAAAUAAUAAUUAACUAUAAAAAGUUAUUAAACUGAUAAAAUUUAAUUUUCAAAUAUCUCUUUGCAAUUAGAUUAUGAAUUUAAUUAUGCAACAUCAUUGAUCAGAAUUUUAACACAUAAAAUAUGUUUACUUUAUUGCAAAUAUUUACAAAUAUUGUUGCAAAACUUGUAAAAAAAUAAAUAAAUAUGAUAAGAGAUAUGAUGAUAAUUUAUUUUAUAUUGGAUCAUCUAAUUCGAGUUAUAUCGAUUUUCUUUCAUAAAAUUCUUAAAAGAUUCCAUUAUGUAGUCUAAAAAUUAUACAUGUAUUGUCUCUUAUACUUUUGAUUUAUAUAAAUACAUAUAAAGUUGUUGAAUCCAUGCUUCAUGUAUAUGAUAAAUCCAACUAUUUCUAAAAUACUUUUUUUUAGAAUUGAAAUGUAUAAAGAUUAGAAGAGUUUAGAAAAAAAUAGUACUUUUCAUAAACAAUUAAUUUGUAACAGUAGUUCCAACAUCAUUCAUAAUUGUAAUUAUAAAGAUUUGAAGAAUGGUAGUUAUAGGUAAAAUAGUGAGAAGUUAUACCUAAUUGAAUUGAAGUUGAGUUGUUAAGUAGUCACAUUCCAUUCCACCCUUAUCUUAAGCUGGGGCCUUACAUGUCCCUGAAAAAACUAAUGGUGGAUCAUCCUCCAGCCACAUAAAUCUGCUACGUCUAUAUAGCCAUUAUAUUUCCCAAUCAACUAAUAUCUCUUUACUCAAUCUGAUUGUGUUCUCAUCAAUAAUUGAAAUCAGAAUAUAAAAAAUUAUAAACUUUAUUUUAUUUUAUUUUUUAAAACUAAUUGUAAUUUUUUUCAAUUAAUUAAAUAUAUAUAUAUAUAUAUAUAUAUAUAAUUUUUAUAACAAAGUUAUUGAAACUUUCGUUUCAUAAACUUCACAGUAAUUAGUGCGAAUUAAUCCUAGGCAUGAUGAGAUAUUAAAGAUUCCGCGAUGAAAUUAAUUUUUUUUUCUAUCUAUUUAUAUAGAAAGACCCAAAAAAUCUUUUGAUAGAAUGUUACUAUUUUAAAACAUAUCAAUACUUUAAAGUAAUUGUAUUCUUCCUUUUUAUGGUAUAACGUCAUCUUUUGAAAUUUUAGUGCAAGUCCAGGCAAUUAAAGAGUUUCAAAUUGCAAUCCCAGAACCAAUAAUUGUUACUACAUUUGCAAUAAUGUUAUGCUAUCUAUAGUCUAAAUAUCCUUUUAAAAUAUCAAUAGUGAAAAGGUAAAAUUGAAUUCACCCAAGAAAAUAUUUAUUAUUUUAAAUUGAUUAAGCUUUCUGUCAUAAUUUUUUUUUAUUGGAUGAUAUGACGUAUGAGAAAUUAUACUAUAUUUCAUGAUAAAAUUGAUGUUUCUAAGACUAUUUCGGUAAUUAAAGAUUUAACCUGUUUAGUGAAAAAUUCGUCUAAAGCCUUUAAUGAAUAAUGAUAUGUUGAAUUUUGACGGGAUUAAAAUUUUUUUGUAUUAAUAUUCGUACUAGUAAAGUUCUUCGUCUUUUUCUCGUUAGAUGGGAGUUCCAUUCACUAGGCUGAGUUAAAAUUAACACUGAUGGGGCUGCUAGGGGAUAAUCUUAGUCUUGUUACGUGUGAAGGUAUUUUCCGUGGGAGUAUGAGAGAGUUUAUUGGUGUUUUCUCUGCGUUUCUUGAAGUUCAGAUUGCUGGAUUGCUAAAUUUUAUGGAGUUAUACCUGUUAUGGAGGAAGCUCAAAAAAUGAGGCUUACUCAUAUUUUUCGUGAAGGGAAUGAGUGUGCUGAUAAGUUGGCUAAUUUAUGAUUUAUUCAUAGAGAAUAAUUUCAUUGGUAGAAUAGACUCUCAUAUAGUUUGUUCUUAAAAUUCUUCAUGAAUAUGUAUAGUCUACCUAUGUGUCGCUUUUAUUAACAUAUGAGUUUUGCCCAUAUAUUUUUUUGUAUUUCUUUUUUCUUUUUUUAAUAAUAUUUUUUUAUGUGAUGACAAAUGAUUAUUAUUAUUUGAGGUGUUAGCUUAACUGAGAUAUUAAGUUGCAUAAUAAUACCUAAUAUCAAAGUUUUUAUAAAAAAAAUCUAAAUUAAAAUAUCAUGAGUGAAGCCAUUGCAAUCAGAGUAACACAAAUAGUAUAAGAAAUUCCCAACAGAAUAAAUUCAAAAUCAAUUUAGAAGUCAAACAGAAGCAAGUUUAUCAGCAUUUGGAACAAAGGAAAAACAUAAAUGGAUACAUUGCAAUUUCAGCUACAAUAUCAAUGUUUUUGGACUCUCCUAAAGUGAAUUUAUUUUUUAUCACUAAAUAAUAAGACAUUUAAAGAUGUUUCCAUCCAUAUGUACGAAAAAAAAGAGGCCAAUUACUUCUAACCCAAAAAAAUUCCAGCUCAAGCCAACAACAAAACAUAGAUUGUUUCUUCCUGCACCUCCAUAUCUUCUUUUCUUCUGCCACCUCCAUACACAUCAUGAAAAUACAUUUUUAUCAUUUUUUUGUCAUCCUCAUAAAUUAGUUUCCAGAUUAUGUAAUCCGGAACACAUUUGAAAAAAGACUUCCGGAUUACAUAAUCUGGAAGUUAAAUAAGACUUCCGGAUUAUGUAAUCUGGAAAGUAAUCAUGCAUAUCAAAAAAGACUUCCGGAUUACAUAAUCCAGAAGCUAAAUUAUAAAUUUGAAAAAUGACUUCCAAAUUAUGUAAUCCGGAAUAUUAUAGAGGGGCAUUUUUGGAAAUUAAAAAAUUUAUGGAGGUGAGAGAAGAAGGUAUGGAGGUGCAGGAAGAAAUAGUCCAAAACAUAACAAAGAUAACAAAGAGGAACAUUUGCUUGUAAUGAAAGUGUUCUCACAAUUUAAAAUUGGAUCCUCUUGUGGAAAAGGUCUCUUUAUUCCUUAUUCAUAUCUUUAUUUUAACUUCUUUAUCUUUUAGUAUUUAUUUCAAUCUUAUUUAAAAUAAAAUAUUUAAUUUUAGAGAAACUAGAAAACAAAUUGUCUAUAACUUGAGUACUGUUUUAGAAGAACAUGGAAGUAAUUAUGUUACAAAUAUAUUAAAGAUAUUUGUGUUUUGUAAAUUUAAAUGAUUCAAAUUUUUACUUUAUUUUAUUUUUUAUUUAAUAAUUUUCUUAUGAAAAAUUAAUAAAAUUAUAUAAAGUAUUUAAGAAAUGUUUGAGUCCGUUUACAGGAAAUACUCUAAUAAAAAUGAUAAAAGAUAAAGAAACCUAAACAGUUGUAGAAAAAGAGAUUUGUAAUUUUUUUUCAUUCUUUCGCUUCAUGACCUUUAGCUGCAUUUUUCCAUUGCCAUGGGCCAAAUGUGAAAUUCAUUUCAAAGCCGGCAAUUUCUCCCUCCACCAUAUCAUAUAAAAAAAAUCACCCAAUCAAAAAUUUUAAAUCCAACUUUACCCUUGUCACAUAUAUUUACUUACGGAUGUUAAUAUCCGGAAGUCAUGUACUUGUCUAUAGAUAUUGACAUCUGAAAAGGUCAAUUUUUUCUAUGGACAUUAAUAUUUGGAAGUGUUAUGUUUGUCUACGGAUAUCGUCAUCCAGAAUUGUACUUUUUUAUUGUAGAUAUCUUUAUCUGAAAGGCACCAUCAUGCUUCUGAAUAUAUAUAUUCGGAAGUCAAUCAUCCUCAGGUUUUAUUUUUUUGCAUUGCGAUGAUUUUGGUACUUUUAAGACAUUAAAAACCCCUAAACUAAAUCAGUUUGAAGAAUAUAAAUAAAGAGUUCGUGAUGUAAUGAGUUGCUAUGGUGUGAUAGUGGAUUGCUUGGUAGUGAAUUAUGAGUUAUGGAUAUCAAUAUUCAAAAGUAUUUUCUGAGUUUUUUCAUAUUCAAAAGUAUUUUCUGAAUUCUGAAUUUUGAUAUGUGAAAGUUAGUUAUAAGUUAUGGAUUUUUAUAUCAGAAUGAAUGGAUUAAGUUUACCAAAAUUAAUAUCUAGAAGGUUUUUCAUAUAAUAUUGUUGGUGCAUUUCAAAAAUGGUAUGGUAUAAAGUAUGUCCAACUCCCAACAAACUUUCAAAGAACUAAUCAAUUACCGACAUUUAAAUGUCAACGGGGAAUUCCUUCACCACAAAAUAUGCUCACAGUGCACCUAAUAAAUUGACAAUAACUCCUUCACCACAAAAUAUGCUCACAGUGCACCUAAUAAAUUGACAAUAACUACUUUUGCUUUGUAUCAGUGGAAGCUAUUCAAAGCAUGGAACGGAAAAAAAAAAUGCCACUAUAGUGUGUGAGAAUUAUAAAUUAGGUAAUAAAAGAAUAAUUCUUCAAAGAAAAUGAAACCGAGAAAAAUGAAAAUAGAUUAAUUACUAUAAAGAUUAAUUUAAAAUUUCGAAUAAUUAAUAGUUAAUAUUUUGAAAAUUCAUUCAAUAUAAUAAUUAAUUAUUAUUUUUAUCGUUAAAAUUAAUUUUUAUUUAAUAAUUAUUAUAAAUCAUAUUAUAUAUAUAUAUUAUAUAUUAAAAAAAUUAUUAAAUAAAAAAUAUUUUUAGAAACUAAAAAUAAUUAGUUGUUAUAUUAACAAAAUUAGAUAUUAUUUUAGAGACUAAAAAAAUUAUUGAUAUUUGAAAUUAGAUAUCAAUUUAAAAAUUAUUUAUUUAGAUACUAAUAAUUUUUUUUAAUUUCUAAUUUUGUUAAAAGAUCAACUAAUUAAUUUUAAAAAAAAUUAAUUUUUAUUUAAUGAUUAUUUUGUAUUUAUAUAUAUAUAUAUUUACAUUAUAAUAAUAUCGAUUUAGAAUGAUAAUUAGUAUUUAUUAAUUUUUAAAGUUAGUAGUUAAAAUUUUAAAAAUUAAUUAAAUAGUACUAAUUAAAGUGUAAGUGUUAAAAAAAAAUAGGAGAUAUAAUUUUAUGAAACAGAACUUUAUUGUAAUUUUUUUUUCGAAAAUUAAUUGAAAUACAUGCAUAUGGUUUCACUCACGUACUGUAAUAAUGAAGUAGAACCAAAAAUUGUGUCAUUGACUUUCAGCAAAAGGCGAUUAGUUUGUCAAAAGCCAUAAGAGAGGAAGCCAUAUUCCUGGGAAUGACUUCAACAACAUCUUCAAGUCCCUUGACUUCAAUAUUUUAAACAAAGUUUUUGAAAUUUUAACAUAUGAACUCCUCAAAAAUUAAAUAAUAUAGUUAUAUAAACUAGGACACCCACUCUCAAUCACGUUCAACAUACACAUAUCACAAUUAGAUAUGGAAAAUUACACUACAUAAUAUAUUCUACAAGAAAAAUACUAAAUAGAAAUUAAUUUUAAAAAUAAAAAAUAAUUAGUUACUAUAUUAAUUAAAUUAGAUUAUUUUAGAAAUUAAAAAAAUUAAUGAUAGUUAAAGUAUUUUUUAUUAUUAAUAAAUAAUUUUUAAAUUAUUAUUUAAUUAGCUACUAAAUUUUUAACUCGAAUUGAACAAAAAUUAUAUGAUGGGGUUAAUGUGUGGGAUGGUCUACAUGAUGAUGAUAUUGAGAAAUCCUUUUCUAAUAAAGCAAUAGAUAAUAUAUCAAAGGGAUAUGAAUGUACAAAUGUGUUUACUACAAAUGAGAUAAAAUUAAGUUUGUAAAGUAUGUUUAGAUUGUUUGUUAUUUGGUAAAUGAAAUAAUUUGUAGUGAUAACUUUUGUAAAUAUUUCGUACUGAGAAUGAGCUCUUGAUGUGGGUUAGAAAAAUUGCGUUUCACUUUGGUUUUGUUAUUGUGAUAUUGAGAUCAGAUACUUCAGCCGGCCUAUGAGGAAGGAAGACAUUUGUAUUAUUAGGUUAUGAGAGAGGAGGUAAAUACAAACGAUACAAGAAGGAUUUAUAGGUUACUGAUAGUGAAAGUAGGAAAUGUGCUUGUCUUUUUAGACUACGAGGGUAUCCAGUAAAGAGUGGUGAAUGAUGGAUAUUGAAAUUAGUUUGUGGGUCUCAUAAUCAUGAGUUGGCAAAUACAUUGAUUGAUCAUCCAUAUGCUGGUAGGUUCACAUGUAGUGAGAAAUCAAUACUUAUGGGCAUGAUAAAUAGCGCAGUGAAGGCCAUAAAUAUUUUGCUAACAAUGAAAGAGCAUAAUGAGAAAAUUGUGACCACAAUAAAGCAAGUUUACAAUGCACAGUAUUCUUACUGGAAGCAUCAAUCCAAAAUUGUUACCGGACUCACCAAUCAGGAAGAUUUACUAAUUCCUAAUCCGGGAUUUUUGCGGAUUCCAUAAUCUGGAAUACGAAAAAAAAAAUACAAAUUUUGUAUUCCAUAAAACUAUUGGACUGCAUUGUCUGGAAUAAUACAUAUGAACUGCAUAAAUGAAAAUUCGAAGAAAAAAUAAACUACAGAUUUGAAAAACAAAAAAUUGACUUACCUUCUUAUCCAACAUCAAGAGAAAUCACCCUUCUCCCACCAAGUUGCCGAGACACCACCCUAAACCACCAACAAAAAUGCAAGAUCGAAUGACGUCGCUGAGAGAGAAAUGAAGUUCGUGGAGUGUGACCGUGCAAUCUGUGGGCAAAGAAGAAGAAAAUAAUAAUGUAAGUCUUAAGUGCAUUUUAGGUUUUUUAAAAAUUAAUAGGAACAAUUUUAUUUUUGCAUAUAACAUUGUAUGGGAGCCCUAAACCCUCAUCUAAUCUUAGGGGUUAUCCCUAUCCUUUAAAGGUCCAGUCAUCCACUAUCUUAAGCUGGGCCUUUCCUGUCCUUGAAUAAACUAAUGGUGGAGAUUUACUCAUCCUCCACCCACACAAAUCUGCUAACUAAUAUCUUUUUACGGACUCUCUCAUUGGUGUUCUCAUCAAUAACUUGUAAUGAGAAUAUAAAAAAUUAUAAACUUUAUUUUAUUUUAUCUUUUAAAAAUAAUUUAGUUUAUAAAAGUUUUCAAUUCAUUAAAUGUAUUUUUUGUAUAACAAAGUUAUUGAAACUUUCCUUUCAUAAACUUCACAUUAAUUAGUGCGAAUUUAUCCUAUUCAUGAUGAUAACAACGAUGAGAUAAUAAAGAUUUCACAAUGAAAAUAAAUUAUUCAAAUUUUCACUUUAUUUUAUUUUUUAUUUAAUGAUUUUUUUAUGAAAAAAAUUAAUAAAAUUAUAUAAUAUAUUUAAGAAAUGUUUGAGUCCGUUUACACUAAAUACUCUAUUUAAUGAUAAAAGAUACUCUAUUCAAUGAUAAAAGAUAAAGAAACCUAAACAGUUGUAGAAAAAGAGAUUUGCAAUUUCUUUUCAUUCUUUACUUCAUGACUUUAAGGUCUCGUUUGUUUUUGGCUAGAAAAAGUAAAUGUUUACUGCGAAAAGUAAAACAUGAAAAACGAAAUUAUAAAUAACAAAAGAAUACGAAAAAUGAAAAUAGUUAUACGUUUGAAACUUUAUUCGAAAGAAGGAAUUGUGAAGAAAGUUUCAUAUAUGUAUAGUUAAUUAUUUAUAAUUUAUUUAAUUAGUCUUUAUUUAAAUUUAAAUUAUUUUUAUUUUUAUUUAAAAUAAAAUUACAAUUCAAAUAUAAAAAAAUUAUUAUUAUAAAAUAACAUAAUUAAUCAUAUUAUAUAUAGUAAAUUAUAAAUAUAAAUAAUAAAUAUAUUUUUUAAUAAUAAAAAUAUAAAUUGAUAUAAUAAUUAUAUUAUUAUAAAAAAUAUAAGAUAAAAAUAAUAAUAUUAUAUAUAUAUAUAUAUAUAUAUAUAUAAUNNNNNNNNNNNNNNNNNNNNNNNNNNNNNNNNNNNNNNNNNNNNNNNNNNNNNNNNNNNNNNNNNNNNNNNNNNNNNNNNNNNNNNNNNNNNNNNNNNNNAACAUAUAUUAUAUAUAAUAAUGGAAGCAUAGGAGCUUCUAAAUGAUGUUGUUAAUAUUGUUAAAUUAAGAUUUUUGGUUAAAAAACCUUUAUUUUUAAUUAAAUAUUAAUUUAGAAACUAUUUAACAAUAAUAAAAACUAAUUUAAAUUUUUUUUUUAGUUUUUAAAAUAUUUUUAAUUUAAUUAUUAUUGUAACUAAUUAUUUUAGUAUCUAAAAAUUGAUUUCUAUUUUAUUAUUAUUUUCGUAGUGUAUAAUUUAAAAUAAAUUAUUCCUAUGCAUUAAUUCCUUUCACUAUUUUUUUUUAUCUCAAUAUCAUAGUUUUUUUAAUCUUAUUUUAAACUAUUUCAAUUUACUUCUACUAUCAAUGCACUAAUAUAUUACUAAUUACUAGGACGCUGCUGCUAUGACAUGUAUGAUUUAUUAUUUACAACAUUACCUGUCGGUUUUAUCAAUAAAUUAACUUUAAAUCAUAAAGUGUUAUUUAUUGUUAGUAUAUAAUACUCUUAUCAUUAAUUUGAUAAAAAAAAAUACAGAACUAAUUUAUUUUAAAAAAUAUGAUCAUAUGAAAAACUUUAAAAUAGUGGAAUAAAAUUUAAAAAAGUUAUUUGAACAUUAAAAUUAAGUAUAUUUUGUGGACGGGAACAAUUUAGUACUUUAAAGUACAUAAAAAAACUGGCAAUAUUAUACAACACUGAAACAUAUUAGAUUAAGUUAAAGGUGAAGAAAAGGUUGAAUUGGAUAUGCAUUUUCAAAACAUAAAUCCUAUUAACAAUAAACUGUCAAAUUCUUUGGAAACAGGGAAUCAAAUAAAUAUGAUUUAUUUGAUGGUUUCAUUGUUCAGUGUUCCUUCAGGAUCUCCUACUGCAUUUUAACUUCCUCUAUACAUUUUUCCACCAUUUUUCCAAUAUUCACACCAAGAGGAUGAUUCCAUCUUAAGACAAAAUAAUUAUUUGAUUUAUUGGGAUGAUUGUAAAGUGUUAUCAGAGAAAAAAAAGAUGAUAGAAAUAGUGAAAGGCUUUAUACUUUUCUUUAUUUAUGUGAAAAAUUAAAAAAAAAACUCUUAUCCUUUUCUCCAUCCAUUUCUCUAUUCUCAAAAUCAUUGAAAUAAACAUAAAAAAACAUCCACUUCAAAGAGAUGUGUGGUUGGUAGAUUGAAUCUUUUGGCAGAAUAUAUCUUCCAAAAGGAUAAAACAUUUCGUGAACUUUGGAAGCAAAAGAAUAUAUAAAAGUAUCAAAAGUUGAAUAACUUUUAUGUAACUUUUUAUAUUUGUCAUCAUUUUCUUUACAUAGAAACAUGUGGAAGAUGAGAAUAAAAACAGUGGACUUACCAUUAUAACAAGUUGGACUUUCCAUUUACAGCAAGACACAGGAAGUGCUUUGUAAGGAGGAAUAAAAGUUAGACAUUAUUUUUUUAAUACACUCCUUUUCAUAUUCUUACGAAAUAUUUAGAAAAACAAAACACCUUGUCAAGAGAGAGGUUCAAACUUUCUUUCGAAGAAUUUGAGUGAAAAUAUUAUAUAAAAAAUAGUUUAAUAGCAUAUAUUAAGAAAGUCUUAAUAUAAUAAAUUAUAAAUAAUUUUGAUAUUGUUAAGAAUAAAUUUUAAAUUUAACUCAAUCUCAUACAUUCAAUUUAUAAGAUGGUGAGAUUUGUAUUCAUUUAUAUGCUAUAAAUUAUUUUUAUUUUUUGUAUGAUCUUUAAUAACAUAUAACAUCGACCCUUAGUUAUCAUAUUUUUUAAACUUGGAAAUUGAACCUUAAAGGAUACAUAUAUUAGGAAUACAUUUAUACAAAAUUUGUGAACACUAGUGUGAAAAGAAAAGAUAAAAAUAAAAUAUUUAAAAAUUAAAAUUAAAAUUAACUUAUAUUUUUAAUCAGAAUUUAAUUAUGCAAGUAUUAUUUUUAUAUGUUUAAUUUCGAAAAUAGAAUCCUUUUCUAAAUAAGUAUAAUUUUUUUGUUCACUUUAAAGUCAGUUGUUGUCAUAUUAAAUUUUCGUUUUUUUAUAAGAUUAUCCUGUUAAAUAUUAUUGUACUUUUCUUCAUAGGGAUUAUUAGCCUGAAUAAAAAAAAUUAUAAUUAGUGUUUAAUUUAUUUGAAAUAAAUUAAAAUAUUUCUUUUCACGUGUAAAACACCUAUGGUAUGUAAGAAAACAUGAUUUUGUUGUGAAAAAAUGAGUAUAUAUAAGUGCAUGUAGUAUGAAGUUGGAUGACACGACAGAAGCAAAAGAAGGGAAAAGUUGAAGAAGAUAAGAUUGAAGAAUGGAGCUAACACAGGUACUGCGCAUGAACGGUGGCGAUGGAAACACCAGCUAUGCAAACAACUCCUUUGUUCAGGUACCUACAUUAACAUCUCUUCAUUUUACUCAAUUCAAAAACAAAAUUUAUAUCAUACAGAUGUUAAAUCAAGAUUUUAGGAUAAAAUAUGUAUUCCAAAUUUCUUACAUGAGAUGAGGAUUGGUUUGUACUGACAGCUCGUACUAGGAUAGACUUUAAAUGAGUAUGAUACUAUACUAAAAAGUGGAUUUUAAGUCUAACUCAAUCCCAUAAAACUGACUGAUGAGAUGAUGUUUGCACUCAAUUAUAUACAAUGAAAUGUCUUAAUCUCUGGUCGAUGUUGGAUAUCCAACAUUUUUCUUUUAAUUUCUUUAAAAUUGAAACAUAUUUUUUCUAAAAUUUAAUAUGUUUUUCAUUUAUUGUUAGCGAUAAUAAUAAUAAUAUAUGAAACUUUCACAUGACGGAGACAUCUUACCAAAAUUUCUUUUAAUAAAUCGUAAUCUGUAUCAACUUUUUCGUCUAGCGUUGUUAUAUAUGUAAAUUUUAGAAGCUCAAAAGACAAAAAAUGAUAUGCAAAGUUUUUGGAAAAGGUAUUUACAAGGAAAAAAAUAUUUUAUCCUAAAGAUCAACACCAAUAAAAAAAAUCAUUUUUAAUACCAGUCAAUAUUUAGGAUAUUUUGAUUGAAAUAGUGGGUAACUUAUUUACAAGUACCCUCCAAAGAGUUCCAAGUUGUGAUGGAUUUUAACUACUAUGUUAUUAAAUUUAUUAAUAUUGUUAAUUUAUAUCUUGUACAAAAUAUCUUUGUGUUUUAAACCUAAAGUAAAGUUCAUAUAUUCGUAAUCUGCUAUUAAAAUAAAUUAGUUCUUUAAUGAAAAAAAACAUUACAAAAAUAUCAUUUUAAUAUUACAUUAAUCCAGUAUUUAAAAAAUAUGCUUGAGGUGUUAAAAAAAUAGGAGAUAUAAUUUCAUUAAACAAAUUGUUUGAGUAUUUUUUUUUUCUAAAAUUAAUUGAAAUACAUGCAUAUGGUUUCAAUCACGUAUUGUAGUACAAUGAAAGUACAACCAAAAAUUGUGUCAUUGAUUUACACAGCAAAAGGCGAUUAGUUUGUCAAAAGCCAUAAGAGAGGAAGCCAUAACUAGUUUUUAUAGCAGCAGACUCCCGAGAAGCUUGGCAAUUGCAGAUUUAGGUUGCUCUUCAGGACCAAACACUUUCUUUGCUGUGUCCGAACUCAUCAAGACCGUGGAGAAGUUAUGUCGGAAGCUGAACCAUAAAUCUCCAGAAUACAAGGUGUUUUUCAAUGAUCUCCCUGGGAAUGACUUCAACAACAUCUUCAAGUACCUUGACACCUUCAAACAGAAAUUGUGUGAUGAAAUGGAAACUGGGAUUGGUCCAUGCUACUUCUCUGGGGUUCCAGGUUCUUUCUAUGGCAGAGUUUUCCCAGAUCAAAGUCUUCAUUUUGUCCAUUCCUCUUACAGCCUUCAAUGGCUAUCUAAGGUACAUGCAUAUGCAUAUGUUAAUCAAAUUAUAAGAUAAUAAUAUAUGGAAUGGAAGUAAUAAGUGUGAUUUAUUAGGUUCCUGAGGGUAUAGACAACAACAGGGGGAAUAUUUACAUAGGAAGAGCAAGUCCAUCAAAUGUUGAGAGAGCUUACUACAACCAAUUUCAAAGAGAUUUCUCUUGUUUUAUCAAGUCUCGUGCAGAGGAAAUAGUUGAAGGAGGUCGUAUGGUUCUCACAAUUUUGGGAAGAAGAAACGAAGUUGAAGAUCCAGCCAGCAAAGAGGGUGGCUACCUUAUUUGGGAGCUUAUGGCUAUAGCUCUUAAUGAUAUGUCUCUGCAAGUAAGAACUUGAUGCUAUGCUUUAAAUUCAGUGCACAUUCAUGAAUAUGAAUCCUUUUACUAUAAUUGGUGCAGGGAAUAAUAAAGGAAGAGGAAUUGGAUAGUUUUAACAUUCCACAGUACACUCCAUCACCAUCUGAACUGAAAUUGGAAGUUCUUAAAGAAGGAUCAUUUGCCAUCGAUCGUCUAGAGGUGUUCGGGGUGAAUUGGAAUCCUCUAGAAAGGUCUGAAUCAGUUAGUGAGAGUGGAUAUAACCUGGCACAGUGCAUGAGGUCUGUGGCAGAACCUAUGCUGGUUAGCCACUUUGGUGAAGAUAUCAUUGAAGAGGUUUUUAGUCGCUUCCACAAAAUUCUGGCUCAUCGUAUGUCUGAGGAGAAAACUGAGUUCAGCAAUAUUACAGUAAUGUUGACUAGGAAAGCAUAAGCAAGAAGAUUGCAACUAGGGUUUCUCAAAUGCGUUAUUGUAGCUGUUGUGAUUUUUGGCUUGCUCCAUUCUUACCUUUUUCUACCAUCAAAUAGCCAGAUGUUGAGAUCAAGAAAAUAAACAACACUAUAGGAGUGUUUUGUUUUUGCAUUUGGCCUAUACCUUUAUCCUUUUACGUUAAUAAUUUAUUGAGAUUGUAAUAAUUGUGUUAUGUUUCAUUUUGAUUGUUCAGUGUAGCCAAACAAAACUUUUUUGGUCUUGAAAAUGAUAUUACUAUGCUCCAAACCACAAACAUCUCAUCAGAUAAAAAGGGAGCACAACUUGUCUAGCACUUUAAAAAUGCAUGGUCUAUCUACAUCCUCUCAUUGUUUGACAUAUGAGGCAUUUGUAGGAAUCCUAUGGUCACUUGUAAUAUAUAUAAUAAUUUUAUAAACAUUUUAAAACGUGACAAGCAUUCAUAUAUGUUUGCAACGUGAGGAAUGACAACGUAAAUCUCAUUCUUAUUCUGAAUUAAAAAUUUAUCUUCAUUACUUAUAUCUUACAACAACUAAGAAUUUUUUUGUCACAUUCUCCUUCUCACUAAAACAUAUUAAUUAAAUAAUUUUUUUUAUAAAAAAUAAAGAUCACAAUAAAUAAAGGAAACAUAAUAUUAACAAAUGAAAAUGAUACAAUUUUCUUUUUUUCCAAUAUUAAAUAAAAAAAUUAUAAUUAUAUAAAUAUAAAAAUAAGAGUAAAUUAAAUAACAAUUGGAUAAAAAUCACAUAAUUAAAUGUUUAAAUAUAUGACGUAGUAAUUUAUGAAACUAAGGAAAAAAGUUAAUAUAAGUUUUUUUAUGUUAUAUACUUCAUAAAUUAAAAGGUAUUUUAGUAAUUUAAGAUAAAAAUGAGUAUGAGAAUGUGAGAAUGAAUAUUGGAAAAGUAUAGAGAUGGAGACUAGAUAAAUAUGUUCAUACUCAUUUCCGUUCUUAUGUCCAAUUAAAAAAAUCAAUAUUGAUAUUUUUCCUUAAUAUCGGAAGGAGUUCAAAUCAUACCUACUAAUGGGAGGUAAUUUUUAAUCGUUUAUCAAAGAUUAUGAGAGAUUAAAUAUUUUUUUUUAAAAAAAGAAAAAUUACUUUUUAAUCUUGUAUGAAUUUAGAAUACUUCCGCUUAGGACUGUAUUUUCUGUUGAGGCUUCAUGUUGCAAUUUCCUUACUAUUUGAAUCAAUGCACCUUAUGGAUGUUUAAGUUCUUAUCCUUGUUUAAUUGAAGCUUCCAAUUGAUUGGACUUGUUUUAUAUACAUCAAGAUUCAAGUAGACAGGCCUUUCACCUAACUGUAUACUUAGCCUAACUCUUGAGCAUAUUGAAUGUUCUAAGAGAGAAACUUCAUUUUUGCCUGGUCAUUUUCAACCCUAACCAAGGAACAUGGAGUAUUUAUUAAGCUCAAUACCAUAUUCAUUUGUUUUAGAUAUAGGGAUAUGUAUUCUGUUUUGGGAAUGUAAUCUCUUAACUUUCUUUCACGUAAUUGUGUGAUCUGUGAGGUGAAUUGGGAUAAACUUUCUGAAGUCACUUGUAUUCCCUUUUUUUUUUUUUUCAUUUCAGAUACUUUGUAUAUUCGUGUCUCCUUUUUGUUCACACAUAUUCCUUUCUUUUGUUUUAUUUAGGGUGUUAGUGACAUCACAACGACAGAGGUAGCAGACUAAUGGCUCGUGACAGUUCUCGUUUUGAGCACUAGACAUGGUGAACUUUGGAACAAAAGAUACUAUACUAUUCAAGUUUCAGCACAGAAAUAUAUAUAACAUUGAAGUUUCAGCACACAAAUAUAUUUCUAAAAAUCAAAAUAAUUAAUUAUAAUAGUAAUUAAAUUAGAGACAUUUUAGAAACUAAAAAAAAUAUUUUCUAAAUUAAUUUAUAUUAUUUUCUAUUAUUGUUAAAUAGUUUCUAAAUUGGUAUCUAAUUAGCAAUCAAAGUUUUUACUACCAAAUUUAGCGAUAAUCUGUGCUGAGGGCAAAGCAGUAGUCUUCCAGAGGAAGACAAACACACUUUUUCCCUCAACAGGUCUCUUAAAAGAGCCUAGACAGAGAUUUUACCGAGAAACCACUAUCCUUACCAGCCUUCCAAACUCGACUAUCUGCAGAAUUCAAGAUAGGGGUCUUUCCAUGCACUUCUUGUAACAGCUGGACUUCCUUAGCAUUACUCCUUUGUUCUUGCAAAUUUCUCCAGGCUCCGUAUUUAGAUUCAAGAAUUUCUUUCCACAGACCAUCCUUCUCAGUCUCCAGACACCAAAUCCACUUUCCUAGCAGUGCCGCAUUUAAAAACCUUAAAUUCAAAAUUUCAUGACCACAGCCUCUCUAGGCUCGCACACCUUUCUCAACGAGACCCACGCUACUUUCCUUCCUUCAUCUCCCCAUCCCCACAACAACCUUCUCUGUACCUUUUCAACCUCCUUUAACACAGCAACAUGCAAUUUGUACAUGGAUAAAUAGAUAAAGGAAUUUCUAUAUUAGGAGCAGGUGCAGGGACAGGUAUAUCUGCCAAGUCAGAAGAAGCUGGAGGGGUUGAUAUAAUAGUUUUGUACAACUUUGGGCGCUUCCGAAUGGCUGUAAGAGGUUCAUUAGCCUGAUUAUUACCUUUUGCAGAUGUUAAUGUUGUUGUUCUUGACAUGGUCAAUGAAGUUUUGCCGGUAUGCCAUUAUUUGUUUACUUGUUCUAGAAGACUUCAAAAGUAUUGUCCAAAUGGUAACUUCUGUUGAAGUUUUUUUCACUCUAAAUGCCUCAUUUUGCAGAUGCUUCUUUACUUGAGCAUAUACUAAUUUCAAGAUUCUUGUUUAAUAUAGGUGGUGAUAAGUGAAACUAAACUAUGAAACAUCACCAAAUAUGAUUGGUAGUCUUUAAGGAAGAAGAUUUUUCUUUUCCAAAAUAAUGUAAAAUAGAAACCAAUUUUAGAGACAAAAAAUAAUUAGUUGUUAUAGUGACUAAAUUAGAGACCAUUUGAAAGAUUAAUUUUAUUUUAGAGAAAAAAAAUACUUAGUUGUUGUAGUGACUAAAUUAGAGAUCAUUUUAAAGAUUUUUUGUUUGUUUCUAAAUUAGUUUUUAUUAUUGUUAAAUGAUUUCUAAAUUGGUAUCUAAUUAGUAUUUUAUGACUCGAAUUACAGCAUUCCAAUGAGAUUUCCGUAGGGUCUAUAUAUAUUGACUUACGAUUCGAACCGAAAAUACUAUGUCAGGCCGAGUAACGAGGUAUAUUAGUCGUCCCACAAGUCAUCCCACAAGUUGUUUGUAUUUGACUGGAUCCUUUAAUAACUCUCCACAUUUAUUUUCUUCUUUCGGAAAACAAUUAGUAAAUUUGAUGUACUUUAGGACUUGAAUUGCGACAUCCCAAUGAGAUUUCCGUGGAGCCUGUAUAUAUCACGGAAGCCUCGUUGGCAUGCCGUAAUUCGAGUCCUAAAAUACUAAUUAGAUACCAAUUUAAAAACCAUUUAACAAUAAUAAAAACUAAUUUAGAAAAAAAAAAUAGUCUUUAAAGUGAUUUCUAAUUUAGUCACUUUAUCAACUAAUUAUUUUUUUGUCUCUAAAAUUAGUUUCUAUUUUAUGAUUUUCUUAUAGUAAAAUAUAUCAAUAUUUAUUAUACCAAAUUGAUUAUUUAUUUAUAAGUUAAUAUACUAUUAUACUUCAAAUGCCGAAGACAAAUAAUUAAAAUAAAAAACCUACGUAAACAAAAACUAUGACACACAGUGAUAAAAAAAUAUCAAUUAGUUUGGCAUUGAUCAAGCAUAUAGUCAUAAUCAUAUAUACCUUAACUAAACAACAUCUUGCAAUGUCUUUUUUUAAUUAAUCUUAAAAUCUUAUAAAUUGAUUGAUUCAGCUAAAAAAAUAACCCUUUUCAUUAAAAAUAUUUUUUAAAAGAAUUAUUAUUAUUCAUAUUUUUAGAUUAUUCUAAAUCAUUAAUUGUUUCAGAUAUUUUAUUAUAUUAAAAUUUAAAAUAACACUUGUGGAUCUAUGGUUGUUAUUAUUAUUUUUAUUAAACGAAAAGUAGUAUUGUAUAAAAUAAAUUCAAGAAAAAUAAUUUUUUUUAUUCAUAUUCGCAAAGAUAAAUAAUAAAAUAUAUUUUUCACCACAAAACUAUAUUUCUUCCUCCCUCUCAUGGAUCAUGGUGGUGAUUAGUACAUUAUUUAAGUAUAUGCACUUUACUACAUUUAGGUUUCUUACUCACCAACAAAUAAGUAGUUGAAUUUUUGUGAAUAUGAUUCAUAACUUUCAUGAUUUUUCCUAAAACCAUUGUUUUAGACUGAGACAAGAUUUGUACUAGUAUUUUUGGAAAUAUCAAUUAAUACCAAUCAAAAUAUUGUUGGCAUGACCUGUGUAUGGUUGGAUCUCCCUCGAGUUAUUAACUAUAUAUCUACGAAAAAACAUAGUAACUUGGAAAGACCACAUAACCUUAUAAUUAAUUUUUUUUAAAUUAAGAGAAGAUAAUUGAAAGUAAAAUAUACACUAUAAGAAAAUAAUGAAAUAUAAACUAAUUUUAGAGACCAAAAUAAUUAAUUACUAUAUUGACUAAACUAGAGACUAUUUUAUAAACUAAAAAUUAUUAGUAUUUAAAGUAGUUUCUAUUAUUAAUAAAAAAUUAUAAAAUAAUUUCUAAAUUAGUAUCUAACUAGUAAGGUUUUAGUUACUAACUACUUAUGUUCUAAAUUAGUCUCUAUUAGUCUUUUAGAAACUAAUUUAGAAUAUAAAAUAUUAGUAGUUAAAACUUUAGUGGCUAAAUUUAGAUAUCAAUUUAGAAACUAUUUUAUAAUAUUUUAUUAAUAAUAGAAAUCACAUUAGAUACUAAUAAUUUUUUAGUCUCUAAAUUAGUAUCUAAUUUAGUCAAUAUAGUAACUAAUUAUUUUUUUGUCUUUAAAUUUGGUUACUAUUUAAUAUUUUCGUGUAGUGAUAAUGAAAACAAAGUUUGUGAAUAGUUUAAUUGAUAUAAUAAUUUAAAAAUAAAAUGAUAUAUUUAUAAAAAUAACCAAACAAACACAAGUUUAGAAAUUUCAAUCUUUAAGCCAAUGUAAAUCUUAAUAAGGGAGAAAAUGUAAUGAAUGAAAAUAAGAAAAGAGUAAAUGAGAACAAAAAUGAAAUUAUAGCCAUGACUACCUAUGGGAAAACAGUUAUAUACAACUGGCAUUUAUAAAGAAAGAGAAAAAGAGAGAAAGGAACAAAAUUGUGUUUGUUGAAAUAUGUAGCACAAAUAAAGAACAAAAUUGUCAAAAUUGUGUUUGUUGAAAUAUGUAGCACAGACAAAUAACAAAAUUGUGUUUGUUGAAAUAUGUAGCACUGACACAGAUACUGAUACGACAUGGACAUGGAUAUUUAUAUAACACACGGAUACGAAGAUACGUAAAAUCUGUAAAAUGUAGGACACGGAGACACAAAUUUAUAUAUUAUAUAAUUAUGAAUUAUAUAAAUUGACAAUAAAAAUUUAUGUGCAUAAUAUGUUUCAGAUUAUUUUUUGAAGUAGAAAGAUGUUUUUUCAUGACUGAUUCACAAGAAUUUGUUUCUUAUUUUUAUAAUCAUAAUAAAAAUUUAUACAAUAAAGUUUGAAUUUUUAAAAAAUUAAUGUGUUUUUUAUUUUUAAAAUUGUGUUAGAACCGUACUACAAUUGUCAGAAAUCUAACAAAUAUUUUUUGAAUUAAACACUUCACGGAUACGUGUCCUACCGGUGUCAGAUACGAGUGUCGGUGUCAGAUACGAGUAUCGAACACCGACACGCCAUUUAAAAGGAGUGUCCGAGUAUGAAAACACUUUGCUACUAAUUAUCACUUUAUUGCAAUUCCAACUUUCUUUCUUUUAUAUUCUUUUCAUUGAAACACUUCCUUUUUCAUUUACCAUAUGUUUCACUCUAAUUUACUCCAUUUAAAGAACCUUACUUCCCACUUUAAUUAUUUUCUUCUCUAAAUUUUUUUCAUUCUCUCGCCUUUUUUUAUCCGACAUCCAAGACUUUUAACGGAAACAAUAUGAUAACCACCAAAAUUCUAAAUUUUUUAAAAAUUUUAUUGUUUAUUUUUAUUAAUAAUAUUAUUAAAUACUUUUAUUAUAUAGUAAAAAGGUAUGUUUUUUUUUUCUUUUCUUACCACUAUCAUCCAAGCCAAUAGUUACACCUAUAAAGACGGUUGAAAGGGUCUACAUCAAAGUACCCUAUGUUUAUAACACUUACAACUCAAGUAUGUACAAGUGAGCAUCUAAAGCAUGUACAAGUGAGCAUCUAGAGAGAGUGUCUACUAUAUACGGAGUAUCUAAUGUUUACUCAAUGCAUCAAUUACAUUUUUAUAAAUUUUAAUUAUUGUAAAUUUUAAUUAUUGUAUUGUAUCGUAUUUUUUUUUCUUCUUCUUAUUAUUAUUUAUUUACGAAUUGUGUGUUUGGUUUGUUUGGAAAUUGAAAUGUUUACAUCAUCGUUAAAUGAUAAUUUGUUGAAUUAUCAAUUGAGUGAAAUGUGUUCACUCUCUUUUAAUGAAUGAUGUUUGUUCCAAUAUUUUCACUUAGAAAAUAAUAAAUUCAUUUUUAAAUAUUUUGCAUCAAUUACCCUUAAUUAUUUUAUUGUAUCAUGUUUUUUAAUUAUUAUGAUUUUACUCAUUUACGAAAAUUGUGUUGUUGGUUUUAUUAGAAACACACCAAUUUCUUAUAAUGUUAAAUGAUAAUUUGUUAAGUUACCAAAAUGUCAUAUAUUUUCACUCUCUUUCCAUUAUUGAGGAGGUAUAUUAUAAUAUUUGAAUUGAAAAAAAAAAUAGUAAAUUCAUUUUUAAAUAUUUUUGCAUUUUUUAUAUUUUUAUAAUAUUUAAUUAUUUUAUGUAUAUUAUUUUAUAAUUAUUAUUACUCAUUUACAAAUUACAUGUUUGUCUCAUUGGAAACUAAAAUGUUUAGUACAAUAUUAAAUGAUAAAUACUGAGUCACCAAAAUGUGUACUCAUUUCACUCUCUUUCAAUUAUUGAGAUAUGUUCCAAUAUUUUAAUUUAAAAAACAAUAAUUUUAUUUUUAAAUAUUUUUAAAUAUUUAAUUAUUUUAGUGCAUCAUAUUUUUUAAUUAUUAUUAUUAUAAAUAGAAAAGUGAUAAAUAAGGUAAUAUGCUAUAAAUCUGGUAACACGAUAUUUCAAGUAAUUAUAUUUUAGUAAAGAUAUGUAUUAAGUACAACUCAUAAGCAAAAUAACACAUUAUGAGCACUAUAAAUAAGCAUUGUCACACAAAAAUAAGGUAUGCUUUUAUUAAUAUAUAAUUCACUCUUAUAUAAAAGUAUUUACUUUAUCGUUGGAGAACUUUUACCGUUUAACUUCCGACCGAGUAUUAGAGAGCGAGUACAAGAAAGGGAAAGAGAAGUGAUCCAGGUACAAGAGACAAUGGUUCAAACCAGGGAAGAUUAGACAAUCUUAGAAUCAAUUUUUAAAAAAAUUUAAAUUAUAAGAGAAAGAUAAUUGAAAGUAAAAUACAAUAAUGAAGAAAAAAUUUGUGAGUGAUUUAAUUAAUAUAAUAAUUUUAAAAAAUAUAUAUAUUUAUAAAAAUAACCAAACAAACAUAACCUUAGAAAUUUCAACCUUAAAGAUAAAGAUAAGGUUAAUUAAUAGAACAAAAAUGAAAUUAUAGCACAUUAUGACUAAAAAGGGAAAACAGUUAUAUACCGCUGACAUUUAUGAAGAAAGAGAACGAGAAAGGAACAAAAUUGUGUUUGUUGAAAAAGUACGCUACUAAUUAUCAUUUUACUACAAUUCUAACCUUCUUUUCUUGUUUCACUCUAAUUUACUCCAUUUAAUGAACCUUAUUUCCCACUUUAAUUAUUUUCUUCUCUGUAUUUUUUUCAUUCCCUCACCAUUUUUUAUCCAAGCAUCCAAACAAAGGGCUAAGGUCGUUAUCAACUUCACUAUGUUUCGUAUGUUUCGUGACUUUAAUGAAUAGCCUAAUGGUAGUUAAUAUAUAUAGUUUGGCAACCAGAAGUUCUCAGUAAUAAAGGACCAACAUUGUACCAAAUAUCAAUCACUUAAAGUCAUGAUAGGCACAACACAUGAUAUUUUAUGUGAUGAAAUGUUAAUGACAGAGUUUGCACAUCUAUAUAUACAGGUAUGGUAUGAACUUGAUCAGAAGCAUAGAAGCACUUAGUUAAGGAGAAUAUCCCAAAUCGAGAUAAAGAGAGAUAUAAAAGAAAACAAUGGAAGUAGCUCAGGUACUGUGCAUGAACGGUGGCGUUGGAGACGCUAGCUAUGCAAACAACUCUCUUGUUCAGGUAUAGUGUUAGAUGUUCACAACACUCUCAGCUUGUGAUCAUGCUUGCUGUCUGUGUUCAUUUCACCCAUUAAAAACAAAGUUAUAAAUAGAAUUUUGAUUUGAAGAGCAAUGUUAUAUACAAUAUACGCAAUAUUAUUGUUUAUGUUUUCUCUCUCAUUAGCAAUAAGUUCAGUUAUCACUUAAAAAGAAUUUCACAGUACAAUCAUUGGUUGUUUUGUUAUGCAGCUAAAGGGGAUUUGUUUGACAAAGUCAAUAAGAGAGGAAGCCAUAACUAGCCUCUAUUGCAGUGCACUCCCCAGAAGUUUGGCAGUUGCAGAUUUGGGUUGCUCUUCUGGACCAAAUACUUUGUUUGUUGUGUCUGAACUCAUCGAGACUGUGGAGAAGCUUUGCCAACAGCUGAACCAUAAAUCUCCAGAAUACAAGGUUUUUCUAAAUGAUCUCUCUGGGAAUGACUUCAACAACAUCUUUAAGUCCAUUGACAGCUUUAAAGAGAAAUUGCAAAAUGAAAUGGAAAGUGGUCCAUGCUACUUCUCUGGGGUUCCCGGAUCUUUCUAUGGCAGGGUUUUCCCAAGUCAAAGUUUGCAUUUUGUCCACUCCUCUUACAGCCUUCAUUGGCUGUCUAAGGUACAUGCAUAUGCAAAAUGGAGCAUUUUUGUUAGUUGUACUCACAUUUGUAUUUUGUAGGAGUUGGUAAUAUAAUAUAUGAAGUAUAGCUAAUAAUUAUGUAUUGGUGAUUAUAUUAGGUUCCUGAGGGUGUAGACAACAAGGGAAAUAUCUAUAUAGGUAGAACAAGCCCAACAAAUGUUGUGAGAGCUUACUAUGACCAAUUUCAAAGAGAUUUCUGUCUUUUUCUCAAGUGUCGAGCAGAGGAAUUAGUUGAAGGAGGUCGUAUGGUUCUGACAUUUUUGGGGAGAAGCAACGAGGAUCCAUGUAGCAAGAAUAAUCUUUGCUACAUUUGGGAGCUUAUGGCUUCGGCUCUUAAUGAUAUGGUUUCUCAGGUAAUGAAUCCACUUUCUGAGGAGGUGAAAACAUGACUCAACCAUACAUGACAAUCUGAUUUUUUAACAUUAAUAAGGGCUUCUUUUCUUUAGUAUUCUCUUUCCUAAGUUUCUUAUAUAAAAAUUGUAUUGUUUAAUAUUAAUUUCCUAAGUUGUCUGUUGAAACAUGUAUAUAAAUCUGGCAAGAUGCAUGUAUAUAAAUGUUUUCACUGUUUUGCUGCAGGGAAUGAUAAAGGAAGAGCAAGUAGACAGUUUUAACAUCCCACAGUACACUCCAUCACCAUCUGAAGUGGAAUUGGAAGUUCUUAAUGAAGGAUCCUUUUCUAUCAAUCGUCUAGAAGUGUCUGAAAUGAACCGGGACACUCUUGACUUUGAACCUGAAAGGUUUGAAUCAAUUGGUGAUGAUGUGGCGCAGUGGAUGAGGGCUUUGGCAGAACCUAUGCUGGUUAGUCACUUUGGUGAAGACAUCAUUGAAGAGGUUUUCACCCGCUACAAACAAAUCUUGGCUCAUCGUUUGUCCAAGGAGAAAACUCAGUUAAUCAGUGUCACUUUAUUAUUGACUAGAAAGACAUGAACAAGAACUUUGCACCUGAGGAGAAAACUGAGUUCAUAAAUUUAAAGAAUAAGCAAGAAGUUUCACUACAGAAAAAAUAAUUAGUUGUUAUAGUGAAUAAAUUAGAGAUAUUUUAGACAAAAAAUAAUAAUUGAUUUCUAAAUUAAUUUAUAUUAGUGAUAAGUAGUUUUUAAAUUAAGAUCUAAUUAGCUACCAAAGUUUUUACUACCAAAUUUAGAAUCUAAAUAAUUGGUAGUUAAAACCUUGGUAACUAAUUAGAUACUAAUUUAGAAAUGGUUUAUAAAUAAUAUAAACUAAUUUAGAAACCAAUAAUUUUUUUAAUCUCUAAAAUGAUUUAUAAUUUAGUUAUUAUAACAACUAAUUAUUUUGUGUGUCUCUGAUUGGUUUCUAUUUAAUGAUUGUUGUAGUGUUUGUAUCUGUAUGUGUGUUUUGCUGGAUAUAACUAGCAAAAAUAUUAAGUUGGAAUAGAAUAAAAUUAUUGUGUUUGUUAAGAAUAAAAUUUUUUAGUUUAUUUUCUUCUUAGUAAUUCUUUUGUUUUGCCUCCGCAUGGAAGGCUAAACCUUUUUUGUUGAUUCCUUUGUAAUUUUCCAUUGAGUUUUGAGGUUUUGUUUAAUAAAAGUUUCGAUUUUUAAUUCUCUACAGCAGUUGUUUUUAUUGUUUAAUCUCCUGGAAAACUUUGGUUUCUUAGUUAGUUCGCAUUGUUCUAAUUAAUUUCUUGGACGCAUGAUUCAAGGGAGAGGAGGUAAGCAUUCCCAUGGAGUAUACGCAUGGAACAAAAGUGGGUAUUGAUUAAACUAGUAGACCCAUGUUUUACUAGUGAGUUUUAGUUGAAUUAAAUUGGCGCAUGUUCAAUCUGGUUAACUCUAUUGGAGGAUUGAGAAAAAAUUAAUCUUUAGAGAAAAUGGUGGAAGAACUUGGGAUCAACCGCUUUUUAUUUGCUAUUUUAAUCUCUUUUAUAUUUUCUGCACAACUAUCUCAAACCCCAUUUUUAUCUUUAUUGUUAUUGCUAAUUUUUAUUGUUUGCAAAUAAAUUCUAAACCUGAUUAACUGAAUCACUAUUUGAUUCGUUGCGAGACGACUUGGGGUCAUCUGGCUACAAUUAUACUAUCAUCUCUCUAGUGUUAGACAAGUCUACACUAAAAUCAUAUUAAUUUGACAGCAAAACGACAACUAUCAAUAUAUAUCACAUUUUGUUGAGUAAAUGGUAGAAACUUUUCAACAUCAUUCUCAUACUCCUCACUUAUUUAUUUGACUUGAAUUCAUUCAAUUUGGAUCCAUUAUAUUAGUAAGAGAAGAACUUAGUUUGGAAAUGAAUAUCUCAUUUUAUUAUUUCUUUUGAAAAAAAAGGUGUGACUAUAUCCUUUUAGAAAGACUCAUUUCUUUAUAUUUGAUUAGAAUGUAAAUUUUAAUUAAAAAAAUCUUAUAAUUAGCAAAAUUUCACUAAUAAUACCAAAUGAAAGUAAUGACAUAAAAUAAACCAUAAUAAAGCAUAAUAAAGUAUAUGCUUGGAUAUCAGUACAAAAUAUAAUCAAUUCAAAUUUCAUAAAAUAUAUGAAAUAUUGAUUAAAAAUACUAAUUAACUAUAAAAGGUUAUUAAACGGCUGAAAUAUAGUUUUCAAAUAUCUCUUUGCAAUUAGAUUAUGAAUUUGGUUAUGCAACCUCCACUAUAAGAAAAUUAUUAAAUAGAAACUAAUUUGGAAGAUAAAAAAUAAUUAGUUACUUCAUUAACUAAAUUAUAUAUUAUUUUAAAAACUAAAAACUUAUUAGUAUUUAAAUUAAUUUCUAUUAUUAUAAAUAAUUUCUAAAUUGAUAUCUAAUUAGCUACCAAGUUUAUAAUCUAAAUAAUUGGUAGCCUAGUUUAUAAUCUAAAUAAUUGGUAGCCAAAUUUAUAAUCUAAAUAAUUUGUAGCUAAAACUUAGGUAGCUAAUUAGAUAUAAAUUUAAAAACUAUUUAUCAAUAAUAGAAACUAAUUUAGAUACCAAUAAUUUUUUAGUCUCUAAAAUAAUAUAUAAUUUAGUUAAUAUAGCAACUAAUUUUUUUUUCUAAAAUUAUUUUUUUUUUAAUGUUUUUCUAGUGAUCAAAAUUUUAACAAAAAAAUAUGUUUACUUUAUUGCGAUUUUGUAGGAGUUAUUUGAUGAAUAAUGUGUUAUCAUAGGCUAUAAAUCAUGUUGUAGUUGAAACUUGUAACAAUAGAAGUAAAAUAAAAUAUUCUAGGUUGUCAAUCUUAUUGGCUUAAUAUGUGUACAGGUAAUACAUAUUCAUGUAUGGCUGAUUUAAAAAAUUUAAAAACUUUUAUCUUUGCUAUAUGUUAAAUAAAAUAGGAAAGAUUAUUCAAGUCAGAGGUCUCCUCUUUCUUUUGGAUGACUAGUUUUUUUCUCUUUUAAAAUAAUAGUUUUAAAGUUCAAAUGUUGAAAUUUUAAAAUAUCAUUAAAAGUAAAAUCGAAGCACAAAAUGUGUAUAUCGUAUUAUAUAUAUAUAUAUAUAUAUAUAUAUAUAUAAUAUUGCUUUAUCUUUUAAAAUAUAAUUUGCAGAAAUUAAUCCUAAAAUAAUGUAUUAGUCUAUGUACUUAGCCUAACUCUUGAGCAUAUUGAAUGUUCUAGGAGAAAAACUUCACUUUUGCCUGGUCAUUUUCAACCCUAAACAAGGAACAUGGAGUAUUUAUUAAACUCAAUACCAUAUUCAUUUUAUUUUAGAUAUAUGGAUAUGUCUUCUGUUUUGGGAAUGUGAACUCUUAACUUUCUUUCACAUAAUUGUGUGAUCUGUCAGAUGAAUUGGGAUAAACUUUCUGAAGUCACUUGUAUUCCCUUUUUUUUCAGAUACUUCUUUGUGUAUUCGUGUCUCUUUUUCUGUUCACACAUAUUCCUUUCUUUUGUUUUGUAUAGGGUGUUAUUGACAUCACAACGACAGAGGUAGCAGACUACAUAGUUGGAGGUGUAAUGGCUUGUGACAGUUCUCGUUUUGAUGCCAUCAUAGAGAAUAAAGUCCCGUUAGUCUUGAGUGUGGGAGCACUAGACAUGGUGAACUUUGGAGCAAAAGAUACUAUACCAUUCAAGUUUCAGCACAGAAAUAUAUAUGAACACAACAAACAGGUGACUGCUCUUUAUUACUUCGUUCUGUUUUGGUCUUUGCUUGAAAACUAGUCAUAUUUGCUUGUGAUCCUCCAGAGGAUUUUGUACGUCAUUUUCUCCUUGAACUUGAUGUUUAUUUCCUGCAAUCCUAUGACUACUGUCAAAACUGGACUAUUCACUAUACACNNNNNNNNNNNNNNNNNNNNNNNNNNNNNNNNNNNNNNNNNNNNNNNNNNNNNNNNNNNNNNNNNNNNNNNNNNNNNNNNNNNNNNNNNNNNNNNNNNNNGGAACUGAAGAUGUUUACCAUGUGUUAAAAUGGCUGAAGACAUUAUUUUAUGCUAAUAUAAGAAAUCAAUUAUUUCUGUUUGCAGGUUUCACUCAUGCGAACAACAGUAGACGAGAACAGAAAAUUUGCUGAUUUUAUAGCAAAUAAACUGCAGAAUUCAUCAUCUAAGAUUUGUGUGUGCCUUCCAGAAAAGGGUGUAUCUGCUUUAGACGCAUCUGGGAAGCCUUUCUAUGAUCCAGAGGCAACGGGCACUCUUCUUCAUGAAUUACAAAACCUUAUUCCGACUAAUGGUGAUAGACAGGUAUUAUGGUUGCUCAAUAGUAUUAUUUAUCAUAAUUAUCAGCUUCAAGUUUUCUAAAUUUCAUUUUAUUUAUUGCUGAGUAUUUUGAAAAGUUAAAAGAGUUGUGUACAGGUAAAGGUCUAUCCUCGUCACAUUAAUGACCUUGAAUUUGCAAAUGCAUUGGUUGAAUUUGCAAAUGCGUAAGCUUUGGACCAUCGUCUAUCCACCUAGUGAAUUCCCGGAAGCUAGAACAGGUUCUCAUUUAAUUUUAAUUUGCAUUAUGUUAAUCAGUGUUUUGCAAAAAAUAAUUAGUUUGUUUUUUCAAUUUUCCUCUUAUUUGUGUGUUUUAACACUUAAUUUGUGUUGUCCUGAAAGAUAUUUAUUAAAAGCCAAUUGUAUAUUUUUGUGUUGAACAGCUGUUUAAUUUUACUUAAGUAAGGUGCUCUCCAGAAUUGCUUUUGGUGGAAAAUAUAUUCAUUAUGUCAACUACGGAAAUAAUGUUUUCAUUUCUGCUUGCAGAAACCUUGGAGAAAACACAGUUCAUAUUACAGCAACUGAAACAUCAAAUAGAUAAAGGAAUUUCUAUAAUAGGAGUGCAGGGAAACUUGUUGAUCUAUGGUUGUUAUUAUUAUUUUUAUUAAACGAAAAGUAGUAUUGUAUAAAAUAAAUUCAAGAAAAAUAAUUUUUUUAUUCAUAUUCGCAAAGGAAGAUAAAUAAUAAAAUAUAUUUUUCACCACAAAACUAUAUUUCUUCCUCCCUCUCAUGGAUCAUGGUGGUGAUUAGUACAUUAUUUAAGUAUAUGCACUUUACUACAUUUAGGUUUCUUACUCACCAACAAAUAAGUAGUUGAAUUUUUGUGAAUAUGAUUCAUAACUUUCAUGAUUUUUCCUAAAACCAUUGUUUUAGACUGAGACAAGAUUUGUACUAGUAUUUUUGGAAAUAUCAAUUAAUACCAAUUAAAAUAUUGUUGGCAUGACCCGUGUAUGGUUGGAUCUCCCUUAAGUUAUAUUAAAUAUAUAUCUAUGAAAAACAUAGUAACUUGGAAAGACCACAUAACCUUAUAAUUAAAUUUUUUUAAAUAAGAGAAAGAUAAUUGAAAGUAAAAUAAAUAAUGAAAUAUAAAUUAAUUUUAGAGACUAAAAUAAUUAAUUACUAUAUUGACUAAACUAGAGACUAUUUUAUAAACUAAAAAUUAUUAGUAUCUAAAGUAGUUUCUGUUAUUAAUAAAAAUUUAUAAAAUAAUUUAUAAAUUCGUAUUCAACUAGUAAGGUUUUAGUUACUAACUACUUAUAUUCUAAAUUAGUCUCUAUAGGUUCUAUUAGUCUUUUAGAGACUAAUUUAGAAUAUAAAAUAUUAGUAGUUAAAACUUUAGUGACUAAAUUUAGAUAUCAAUUUAAAAACUGUUUUAUAAUAUUUUAUUAAUAAUAGAAAUCACAUUAGAUACUAAUAAUUUUUUUGUCUCUAAAUUAAUAUCUAAUUUAGUCAAUACAGUGACUAAUUAUUUGUUGUCUCUAAAUUUAGUUACUAUUUAAUAUUUUCUUGUAGUGAUAAUGAAAAAAAGUUUGUGAAUAGUUUAAUUGAUAUAAUAAUUUAAAAAUAAAAUGAUAUAUUUAUAAAAAUAACUAAACAAACACAAGUUUAGAAAUUUCAAUCUUUAAGCCAAUGUAAAUCUUAAUAGGGGAGAAAAUGUAAUGAAUGAAAAUAAGAAAAGAGUAAAUGAGAACAAAAAUGAAAUUAUAGCCAUGACUACCCAUUAUGAGGAAAACAGUUAUAUACAACUGGCAUUUAUAAAGAAAGAGAAAAAGAGAGAAAGGAACAAAAUUGUGUUUGUUGAAAUAUGUAGCACAAAUACUUACACAGAUAGAUACUUAUACGGACAUGGACACGAAGAUACGUAAAAUCUCUAAAAUGUAAGAUACGGGGACACGAAUCUAUAUAUUAUAUAAUUAUGAAUUAUAUAAAUUGACAAUAAAAAUUUACGUGCACAAGUAUGUUUCAGAUUACUUUUUCGGAGCAGAAAGAUGUUUUUCAUGACUGAUUCACAAUUAUUUGUUUCUUAUUUUUAUAAUCAUAAUAACAAUUUAUACAAUAAAGUUUUAAUCCCUCACGCCGAGACUGCCAACUCGUGCGUGGGACUAUAUAUUAUGGGUGGUCCGAUAGCGGCCCGAUAACGGGUGGCACGAUAAGCCCAACACAAACACUCGCUAGGAUAGGCUCAAAAUGGCUCUGAUACCAUAUUACGAAGUGGACUUUAAGCCUAACUCAACCCCAUAAAACCGGCUCAAUGGGGUGAGGUUUGCACCCAUUUAUAUAUUAUGAAAUGUCCUUAUAUCUAGUCGAUGUGGGAUCUCCAACACACCCCCCUCACGCCGAGAGUGAUAGAUAGAAGCUCGUGCGUGAGACUAUAUAUUAUGGGUGGUCCGAUAGUGGCCCGAUAGCGGGUGGCACGAUAGGCCCAACACAAACACUCGCUAGGAUAGGCUCGAAAUGGCUCUGAUACCAUAUUAAGAAGUGGACUUUAAGUCUAACUCAACCCCAUAAAACCGGCUCAUGAGGGUUGAGGUUUGCACCCACUUAUAUACAAUGAAAGGCUCUAAUCUCUAGUCGAUGAGNNNNNNNNNNNNNNNNNNNNNNNNNNNNNNNNNNNNNNNNNNNNNNNNNNNNNNNNNNNNNNNNNNNNNNNNNNNNNNNNNNNNNNNNNNNNNNNNNNNNNNNNNNNNNNNNNNNNNNNNNNNNNNNNNNNNNNUGUAUAUAAGUGGGUGCAAACCUCAAUCUCAUGAGCCGGUUUUAUGGGGUUGAGUUAGGCUUAAAGUCUACUUUCGUAAUAUGGUAUCAGAGCCAUUUUGAGCCUAUCCUAGCGAGUAUUUGUUGGGCUUAUCGGGCCACCUGCUAUCGGGCCGCUAUCGGACCACCCAUAAUAUAUAGUCCCACGCACGAGUUGGCAGUCUCGGCGUGAGGGGGUGUGUUGGAGAUCCCACAUCGACUAGAGAUUAGAGUCUUUCAUUGUAUAUAAGUGGGUGCAAACCUCAACCUUAUGAGCCGGUUUUAUGGGGUUGAGUUAGGCUUAAAGUCCACUUCGUAAUACAAUUGUCAUAAAUCUGGAGUGUCUGAUCUUCGUAUUGAAACACUUUUGCUACUAAUUAUCACUUUAUUACAAUUCCAACUUUCUUUUCUUUUAUAUUAUUUUCAUUGAAACACUUCAUUUUACAUUUCCCAUAAAAAAAUUCUUGUUUCACUCUAAUUUACUCCAUUUAAAGAACCUUACUUCCCACUUUAAUUAUUUUAUUCUCUAAAUUUUUUUCAUUCCCUCACCUUUUUUUAUCCGACAUCCAAACAAAGACUUUUAACGGAAACAAUAUGAUAACCACCAAAAUUCUAAAUUUUUUAAAUUUUUUAUUGUUUAUUAAUAAUAUUAUUAAAUACUUUUAUUAUAUAGUAAAAAAGUGUGUCUUUUUUUCUUUUCUUACAACUAUCAUCCAAGCCUAUAGUUACACCUAUAAAGACGGUUGAAAGGGUCUACAUCAAAGUAUGUUAUAAACCUUAUGUUGAUAACACUUACAACUCAAGCAAGCAUGUACAAGUGAGCAUCUAGAGAGAGUGUAUGCUAUAUACGAAACAUCUAAUGUUUACUCAAUUUAAAUUAUUGAGAUCUAUUUCAAUAUUUAAAUUUAAAAAAUAAUAAAUUAUUUUUAAAUAUUUUGCAUAAUUUACCUUUUUAUAAAUUUUAAUUAUUGUAUUGUAUCGUAUUUUUUAUUCUUCUUAUUUUUAUUUUUAUUAUUAUUAUUCAUUUACUAAUUGUGUGUUUGGUUUACACUAGUGCAAAAAGAUUAAAAGAAUACUCCUUAUUAAGUGCGGGUUUGCGAUUAAACGCAUUCGUAAAAAACGCGCUGGCAUUUUUGAAAUUAAUUUGAUUUACAAAUGCGGUUCUAGAGUAAAACCGCAUUUGUAAAUCAAUGUGCACUGAUUUACAAAUGCAGUUUUUCAUAUGACCGCAUUUGUAAAUCAUUGGCAUUGAUUUACAAAUGCGGUUUUACUCUAGAACCGCAUUUGUAAAAUCUUUUUACCCUAAAAUUUGAAGCGCGCCACUCAGUUUCAGACUUUCACUUUCUUCUCCGCUCUUCGUUUCCACUGUUCUUGCGCUCGCGUCCUCUCUGCAUUUUCACCAUUGUAAGUUUCGUUCAUUCAUUCAUUCAUUUUCGUUCCUUACUUCGUUGGCAUUGGCAUUUUCGUUCCUUACUUCGUUGGCGCAUUUGCAUUUUAGGUUACUGUUCCAUUGAUCUUCGCUGGUCUGUCCCUGCUCCGCCACCGCCACCGCUUCCGUCGCCGCCUUUGUCGCGUGCCUCUGCCACUCCGAUCACCAUCAAGUUGCUUCACGAAAAGGUUGGUGUUGUAUUUAAAAAAUUUUGAAUUUUUAUUUAAUAUUUUGAAUUUAUAUUUUUGUGUAUUAUAAUUUAUAUAUUAUUAUAUAUAAAUUUGUAUUAUAUAAUUUGUACUUUCUUAAAUUUAUAUUAUAUAUUUAGUUAGUUGUUAAUUACAUUUUAAUAAAAGUUUUAUGUUAUGUUAGUUGUUACUUUUAGAAUAGAAUUGUCGUGUUUGGAUUGAGUCCGGGGCGUUCGACCCUCGGCAAAUGUGUGAGAUAGAAUACUAAUUAUUAGAAAAUCCUUACUAUUCCAAAAUAUAUAAUGGAUCGAGGUUGAAUUAAUGUUGUUCGUAUAAGUGAUGAGUACGAAAGGGGAGUAGAGGAAUUUAUACAAUUUGUGCAGUGUAACGCGAUUAUUAGUGGUCAUGAUGGAGCAAAGAUCAGGUGUCUGUGCGUUAACUGUUUGAAUGGAAGGAUACUGGAUGUGAAUAUCAUGAGGGAACACCUGCUAUGUGAUGGGUUUCUUCGAUCUUAUACAACUUGGACAUGGCAUGGUGAAUUAUUAAAUUUACCACGUGUUUCCGUAACUGAAGAAUAUGUGGGUUCUACCAUGGAUGAAACAGUACACAAUGAUGGAGAUGAUGAUCGAUUGGAGGACAUGAUUCGUGAUGUGGGAGCUGAGAUAUGGAAGUAUGUCAAGAGAUGCAGAGACUCCUUUGUAUCCUGGAUCAACUAACUUCACACGGUUGUUGGUGGUGUUAAGAUUGAUGAAUUUGAAGGCAAUAAACGGAUGGACUAAUAAAAGCUUCACGGAAUUGCUCCAGCUGUUGAAGGAUAUGCUUCCAAAGGGAAAUACUCUACCUAAUCGUAAUUACGAGGCCAAAAAGAUUCUUUGUCCAAUGGGUAUGGAGUACAAAAAGAUACAUGCAUGUCCUAAUGAUUGUAUAUUAUACCGGAAAGAUUUUGAAUUGUUGAAAAGUUGUCCGAGGUGUGGGUUAUCACGUUAAAAGUUGAAACAAAAAGAUGAUGAUUCUAUUGAUGAGAUGGAAAAGCAUGGACCCCCAAUGAAGGUUAUGUGGUAUCUUCCCAUCAUUCCAAGGAUGAAGCGUUUGUUUGCAAACUCAGACGAUGCUAAGAAUCUUAGAUGGCAUGCAGAUGAGAGGAAAUGCUAUGACAUGUACUGACAUCCAGCUGAUUCUAUUCAAUGGAAGAAAUUUGAUGAUGACUUUCCAGAGUUUGGUAAAGAAUCAAGAAAUAUCCGACUUGGUUUAGCUACAGAAGGAAUGAAUCCGUUUGGUAAUAUGAGUACAAAUCACAGUUCAUGGCCUGUAUUACUAGUUAUUUACAACUUACCUCCUGGAUUGUGCAUGAAACGAAAAUACAUGAUGUUGUCUAUGAUGAUAUCCGGUCCGAAACAGCCAGGGAAUGAUAUUGAUGUUUAUCUAAGUCCCCUAAUUGAAGAUUUGAAGUUAAUGUGGGACUAGGGUGUUGAAGUAUUUGACGGAUUUGCUAAUGAAACUUUCAAGCUUCAUGCCAUGUUAUUUUGCACCAUCAAUGACUUUCCGGCAUAUGGUAACUUAUCAGGUUAUAGUGUUAAGGGUCACAAAGCGUGUCCAAUAUGCGAAAAAGACACUGCUUCUCAACAAUUGAAACAUGGAAGGAAAACAGUAUAUCUUCAACAUCGGAGGUUUCUUAGAAGUCAUCAUCCUUACCGGAGGUUGAAAAAGAGUUUCUAUCGCAACAAGUUUGUGCUGAGCCGAUUGAACCCCUUGUUAGUCCCACUCCCAAGAGCACAAAGGGGAGUUGUGCGGCUCCUCCAACAUCAGGGGAUGAUAUCAAUGGGCAAACAGAGGAUUGUGAGCUACUGGUAGUGGGCGGCAAACUUCCUCGGGUGGUGGCCCUUGGAAAAGUCUAUCAAAACGCCACCACCUUACAUAAUGUUCCUCUCUCCCCUGAUGUGGCGAAGGUAACAGUUGAAAAAGUACGAUUUCCUGAUGCUCNNNNNNNNNNNNNNNNNNNNNNNNNNNNNNNNNNNNNNNNNNNNNNNNNNNNNNNNNNNNNNNNNNNNNNNNNNNNNNNNNNNNNNNNNNNNNNNNNNNNNNNNNNNNNNNNNNNNNNNNNNNNNNNNNNNNNNNNNNNNNNNNNNNNNNNNNNNNNNNNNNNNNNNNNNNNNNNNNNNNNNNNNNNNNNNNNNNNNNNNNNNNNNNNNNNNNNNNNNNNNNNNNNNNNNNNNNNNNNNNNNNNNNNNNNNNNNNNNNNNNNNNNNNNNNNNNNNNNNNNNNNNNNNNNNNNNNNNNNNNNNNNNNNNNNNNNNNNNNNNNNNNNNNNNNNNNNNNNNNNNNNNNNNNNNNNNNNNNNNNNNNNNNNNNNNNNNNNNNNNNNNNNNNNNNNNNNNNNNNNNNNNNNNNNNNNNNNNNNNNNNNNNNNNNNNNNNNNNNNNNNNNNNNNNNNNNNNNNNNNNNNNNNNNNNNNNNNNNNNNNNNNNNNNNNNNNNNNNNNNNNNNNNNNNNNNNNNNNNNNNNNNNNNNNNNNNNNNNNNNNNNNNNNNNNNNNNNNNNNNNNNNNNNNNNNNNNNNNNNNNNNNNNNNNNNNNNNNNNNNNNNNNNNNNNNNNNNNNNNNNNNNNNNNNNNNNNNNNNNNNNNNNNNNNNNNNNNNNNNNNNNNNNNNNNNNNNNNNNNNNNNNNNNNNNNNNNNNNNNNNNNNNNNNNNNNNNNNNNNNNNNNNNNNNNNNNNNNNNNNNNNNNNNNNNNNNNNNNNNNNNNNNNNNNNNNUGGUUGAUAAGACUGUUGUGUGGUUCUGUUUCCUACACAAGAAGAUUCCCACAAAAUUUAAGGAUAUCAUUGAUACGUAAGUACAUUAUAAACUGAACUUUGUAUAUGUUACUAAUUAACCAUCUACUAACGAGGUUUUUUGUAUUAACCAGUUCAUGGCGUGGAUAUAACAUCCUAAAAGGUCGAUCAAGUUCAAAUAAUUUGAACUGGAUAAGAAUAAAGGUUUGUAAUUUUUUUCUUUCUCUAUUAUCAUUGUUUAUCAAUAUACUAACAUAUUACUUUUUAUUGAAUUAUAGUGUAAUAAACAACCAGGAAGCUAUGAGUGUGGCUAUUACAUUAUGCAAUGGAUGAUUAUCAUUAUAAGACUAGGUGUUAAAACUGGUUGGAAAGAGGUACUAUAUAUGUUAAAUCAUUUUUAUAAUUCUUGAACAUAUAUAUAUAUCUAAAAACUAAUUUAUGUAAACUUUGCAAUGCAGUUAUUCACAGAAGAAACACCAAUGAAUGAGGAAGGCAUUUCAUAUGUUAGAGAUUCUUGGUCCACAUAUUUCAUAAAUUUUUAUAACUCUAGCAUAGGUAAACAAUAGUGGUUUUAUGUAUAUGUAAUUUGAUUACUUGUAAAUGUAAAUUUUGAUGAUCUCAAUUGAUUACUAUAUUUAUGUAUUUGUCUGGCUGGGUUUGAUCAUUAUGCAGGUUAUUAAUUUAUAUGGUUUAUGCACAAUACAAACUGCACUUUAAAAAAAACACUAUUUACAAAUGCGGUCAUUUACCAAAACCGCAUUCGUAAAUGUGAUUUACGAAUGCGGUUAUUACCAAGACUGCAUUUGUAAAUCUUAAACCCCUAAACUCUCAUCCCUCGUUCAGAAUAAUAUACAAAUGCGGUUAUUUUAAAUAACCACAUUUGUAAAUCUAAUUUAUAAAUGCGAUUCUAUGACCGCAUUUGUAUAUCUCCGAUUUACGAAUGCGUGCGGAUCAAAUGUUGUUCUAUAACCGCAUUUGUAGAUGUAAAAUAGCCGCAUUUAUUUUACAUUUAUACCAUCAUUAAAUGAUAAUUGAGUUAUCAAAGAGUGGAAUGUGUUCACUCUUUUUUAAUGAUUGAUGUUUGUUCCAAUAUUUUCACUUAGAAAAUAAUAAAUUCGUUUUUAAAUAUUUUGCAUCAAUUACCCUUAAUUGUUUUAUUGUAUCAUGUUUUUUAAUUAUUAUGAUUUUACUCAUUUACAAAAAUUGUGUGGUUGGUUUUAUUAGAAACAGAAAAAUUUCUUAAAGUGUUCAAUGAUAAUUUGUUAAGUUACCAAAAUGUCAUAUCUUUUCACUCUCUUUCCAUUAUUGAGGUAUAUUCUAAUAUUUAAAUUGAAAAAAAAAAUAGUAAAUUCAUUUUUAAAUAUUUUAGCAUUUUUUAUAUUUUUACAAUAUUUAAUAAUUUUUUGUAUAGUAUUUUUUAAUUAUUAUUAUUACUCAUUUACAAAUUGCAUGUUUGAUCUUAUUGGAAACUUUUCGUACAAUAUUAAAUGAUAAUAUACUGAGUUACCAAAAGGUGUAGUCUUUUCACUCUCUUUCAAUGAUUGAGAUAUGUUUCAAUAUUUUAAUUUAAAAAAUAAUUUUAUUUUUAAAUAUUUUACAAUAUUUAAGUAUUUUAGUGUAUCAUAUUUUUUUAAUUAUUAUUAUUAUAAAUAAAAACGUGAUAAAUCAGAUAAUAUGUUAUAAAUCCAGUAACACACAAUAUUUCAAGUAAUGAUGUUUUAGCAAAGAUACGCAAAAGAUGGAUAUUAAGUACAACCCAUAAGCAAAAUAACCCAUUACGAGUACUAUAAAUAAGCAUUGACACACAAGAAUAAGCUAUGCUUUUAUCAAUAUAUAAUUCAUUCUUAUACAAAAACAUUUACUUUAUCGUCGAAGAACCUUUUAUCGUUUAACUCCAGACCGAAUAUCAGAGAGCAAGUACAAGAAGGAGAAAGAGGAGUGACUGGGGAACAAGAGACAAUUGUUAGAAACCGGUAACAGGUACAAUCUAAAACCUAUAAAAGUAUAUGUAUAUUUAUUGUUGACAUGACCCAAAUGAAGUGUGUGGUUGGGAUCUCCCUCAAAUUCCUAAGUAUAUAACUGUGAAAAAUAAAGUAACUUGGGAUGACCACACAACCUUAGAAUUAAAUUUUAAAAAAAUUUAAAUUAUAAGAGAAAGAUAAUUGAAAUUAAAAUACAAUGAAGAAAAAGUUUGUGAGUGGUUUAAUUGGUAUAAUAAUUAAAAAAAAAGAUAUAUUUAUAACAAUAACCAAACAAACAUAACCUUAGAAAUUUCAACCUUAAAGAUAAGGUUAAUCUUAAUAAGGGAGAAAAUUUAAUGAAUGAAAAUAAGAAAAUAGCAAAUGAGAAAAAAAAUGAAAUUAUAGCAUUAUGACUAAAAAUAGCAUUAUGAGUAAACAUAGCAUUAUGACUAAAAGGGGGAAACAGUUAUAUACAGCUAACAUUUAUAAAGAAAGAGACCAAGAGAGAAAGGAGCAAAAUUGUGUUGGUAGAAAAAGUAUGCUACUAAUUAUCAUUUUACUACAACCUUCUUUUCUUUUAUAUUAUUUUCAUUGAAACACUUAUUUUUUUACAUUUUCCUUCAAUUUCUUUUCUGUUUCACUAAUUUACUCCAUUUAAAGAACCUUAUUUCCCACUUUAAUUAUUUUCUUCUCUAUAUUUUUUUUCAUUCCCUUUCCUUUUUUGAUCCAAGCAUCCAAAGAGCUAAGGUCGUUAUCAACUUUGCCAUGUUUCGUAUGUUUCGUGACCUUGAAUGAAUAGCCUAAUGGUAGUUAAUAUAAUUUGGCAACCAGAAGUUCUUAGUAAUAAAGGACCCACAUUGUACCAAAUAUCAAUCACUUAAAGUCAUAGCCACAACACAUGAUAUUUUAUGUUAUGAAAAGACAGAGUUUGCUCAUCUAUAUAUACAGGUAUGGUAUGAACUUGAUCAGAAGCAUAGAAGCACUUAGUUAAGGAGAAUAUCCCAAAUCGAGAUAAAGAGAGAUAUAAAAGAAAACAAUGGAAGUGGCUCAGGUUCUGUGCAUGAACGGUGGCGUUGGAGACGCAAGCUAUGCAAAAAACUCUCUUGUUCAGGUAUAGUGAAAGAUGUUCACAACACUCUCAGCUUGUGAUCAUGCUUGCUGGCUGUGUUCAUUUCACCAAUUAAAAACAAAGUUAUAAAUAGAAAUUUGAUUUGAAGAGCAAUGUUAUACAUAAUAUACGCAAUAUUAUUGUUUAUGUUUUCUCUCUCAUUAGCAAUAAGUUCAGUUAUCACUUAAAACGAAUUUCAUAGUACAAUCAUUGGUUGUUUUGUUAUGCAGCUAAAGGGGAUUUGUUUGACAAAGUCAAUAAGAGAGGAAGCCAUAACUAGCCUCUAUUGCAGUGCACUCCCCAGAAGUUUGGCAAUUGCAGAUUUGGGUUGCUCUUCUGGACCAAAUACUUUGUUUGUUGUGUCUGAACUCAUCGAGACUGUGGAGAAGCUUUGCCGACAGCUGAACCAUAAAUCUCCAGAAUACAAGGUUUUUCUAAAUGAUCUCCCUGGGAAUGACUUCAACAACAUCUUUAAGUCCAUUGACAGCUUUAAAGAGAAAUUGCAAAAUGAAAUGGAAAGUGGUCCAUGCUACUUCUCUGGGGUUCCCGGAUCUUUCUAUGGCAGGGUUUUCCCAAGUCAAAGUUUGCAUUUUGUCCACUCCUCUUACAGUCUUCAUUGGCUAUCUAAGGUACAUGCAUAUGCAAAAUGGAGCACUUUUGUUAGUUGUGCUCACAUUUGUAUUUUGCAGGAGCUGGUAAUAUAAUAUAUGAAGUAUAGCUAAUAAUUAUGUAUUGGUGAUUAUAUUAGGUUCCUGAGGGUGUAGACAACAAGGGAAAUAUCUAUAUAUGUAGAACAAGCCCAUCAAAUGUUGUGAGAGCUUACUAUGACCAAUUUCGAAGAGAUUUCUGUCUUUUUCUCAAGUGUCGAGCAGAGGAAGUAGUUGAAGGAGGUCGUAUGGUUCUGACAUUUUUGGGGAGAAGCAACGAGGAUCCAUGUAGCAAGAAUAACGUUUGCUACAUUUGGGAGCUUAUGGCUUCGGCUCUUAAUGAUAUGGUUUCUCAGGUAAUGAAUCCACUUUCUGAGGAGGUGAAAACAUGAGAAUCUGACUUUUAACAUUAAGAAAGGCUUCUUUUCCUUAGUAUUCUCUUUCCUAAGUUUCUUAUAUAAAAAUUGUAUUGUUUAAUAUUAAUUUCCUAAGUUGUCUGUUGAAACAUAUAUAUAAAUCUGGAAAGAUGCAUGUAUAUAAAUGUUUUCACUGUUUUGCUGCAGGGAAUGAUAAAGGAAGAGCAAGUAGAUAGUUUUAACAUCCCACAAUACACUCCAUCACCAUCUGAAGUGGAAUUGGAAGUUCUUAAAGAAGGAUCCUUUUCUAUCAAUCUGUCUGAAUUGAACUGGGACACUCUUGACUUUGAACCUGAAAGGUUUGAAUCAAUUGGUGAUGAUGUGGCGCAGUGGAUGAGGGCUUUGGCAGAACCUAUGCUGGUUAGUCACUUUGGUGAAGACAUCAUUGAAGAGGUUUUCACCCGCUACAAACAAAUCUUGGCUCAUCGUUUGUCCAAGGAGAAAACUCAGCUCAUCAGUGUCACUUUAUUAUUGACUAGAAAAACAUGAACAAGAACUUUGCAUCUGAGGAGAAAACUG